AAAAUUGUAUUCCUUAGGAACCGUACAUGCACCUUUUGAUGCAUACGGUUCAAAAAAAUUGUGAAUCAAUGUAUAGAUUCUAGUCCUCUUUCUUUUUUUCUAGAAAGGUUCUUUCUUACUUCUAACGAAAGGGCUUUUCUUCGAUUUUUCAAUAAAGAGGAGUUUUGACUCCUUUUUUAUAUUUCUAUUUUCGAUUUUCCAGUAUAAAAUUAGAAGUUAUAAGAAAGGGUCAUUAAACUUAUCGAAUUAACUUCUCAUUGAUGUAUUCUUUCAUCGAGAUUUAAUCCAAACCGCGAUGGUAUUUUCUUGUUCCUGAAUGGGUCUGUUUCAUCUUUUUAGGUUUAUGCUCUACUCAGGGUAAAGAUCUGCCCGAUUUGGAUUUGUACAUAUAGGACAAAUGCUCCCAUUACCAUUUCUUUUUGUAUUUCUUUUUUUUUUCAAUUCAUUUUAUACAAGUAUUUAUUAGAGUUGAGAUAACUUUGCUUGACAAUUAGGAUCUCUUUACAAAGAAAAAAUAUAAAUAGCAAUCAUAGAUAUCUUACCAAUUCAAUUGGUUUUUUUCUAAAUGGAGCCUGGAUACUUCAUUUUUUUAGUCCAACCAACCCAACCAUAAAUUAUUCUAAUUGAUAAUAUUAAUAUGAAUCCCCUCAAAAAUGGAUCUAAUUGCACUUCACGCUCCAAAUUUUUGAUGAUUCAAUUUAUCAUUUUAUUGUUCUUGGGCGAAACGGGGGAUAUCUCAAUCGGGGGAGAGAACGGGGAAAUACCAUAUGAGUGAAAACGAGAAUAGCCAAACAGAUGAAUAAGUCUUAUACAUGUGAUCCGCUAUCAAAAAAAGAAUUGCAAUAGCUAAAUGGUGAUGGGCAAUAUCAUUCAGCCAUAGACCCCCAGUUACUGGAUCUAAUCCUCCACGAAAAGUAAGAAAGUCCACAUAUUUUGACCAAUUCAAGGUGAAAAAUGGGGUUGCUCCCUCGGCAAAACUGGGAUAAAGUUGAGCCAAAAGAUCUUGAUUCAAGAUAAAUUCAUGAGGAAGUGGUAUCUCUUUAGGAUCUACUCCAGAGUUUAGAAAUUGGUUAAUAGGUAAGGAUAUGUGUACUUGAUGCCCCGCCCAAGAGAGAGACCCAAGUCCUAGUAGCCCUGCCCAAUGGUUAUUCAACAUAGAUUCUACAUCUUGAAACCAAGCAAAUUUUGGCACCGCUUUAUGAUAAUGAAAUCAACCAUCAAAAAACAUUAACACUGCAAAGACUAAUGACCAAUUGUUGUACAAUAGAGUUGUAAUUCACUAGUUAUUGCAGAUGCUCGCCAAAUCUGAAAAAAACCAGAUGUUAUUUGUAUUCCUCGGAAACCCCCGCCUAUGUCACCAUUUAAUAUUUCUUGGACCACUAUUGGCCAAACUAUCUGGGCACUAGGCCCAAUGUGAGUUGGAUCACUUAACCACGUUUCAUAAUUAGAAAAAUGAGCACCAUGGAAAUACAUGCCGCUCAUCCAAAGAAAGAUGAUGGAGAGUUGAAUGAAAUGUGCACAAAAUACUUUUCGAGAGAUCUCUUCCAAAUCAAUGGUAUUGCUAUCAAAAUUGUGACCAUCAACAUGUAGGUUUUAGAUCCAAGUGGUAGUAUCAGGCCCUUUAGCUAUUGUUCUUGAGAAAUGACCUGGUCUGGCACAUUCCUCGAAAGAAGUUUUUACGAGAUCCCUAUAUACCGAAAUUUUAACUUCUGGUUUCGGCGAACGAAUAAUCAUUGAGUCCUUCUUUUUCCGAAAAACACAUACAAAGAGACCCGCCAACAAUCAAAUAAUUAGUGAACCUUAGAGAUAGAGAGGUGUUUCUAUAAUUAGUUCAUUUCUCUUCUAUUUUUCUAUCUCCCAUCUAUCUAUUUUCUUUAGUUAUUUACUAGAGCAAUUAUGAUCUAGAAGUCGAUUUGGGGCAAGUGUUCAAAUAUAUUAUGACAUAGCCUUGAGGCGCUCAACAAACCCUUUAACCUUUUAAACCUUUUUGGGCUUUGGAUUGAUCCAAAAAUGACUUUUUUGUGCAACCUAGUGUAUAUUCAUAGAAGUUAUUAGAUGGAGCUCUUUAAUUUUUUACCUAGAAGAUUGUAAUUACUCUAUUCCAAAUCACGCUAGUAGCCAUUAGACAUUACUAAGAGACACCCCCGGUAUAUAUAUAUUUAGUGAUUCAAGGGUUUCUUUUAUUAGUUUUAAUACUAAUAACUAAUAAGAAUUUUGUUUAGUUGAAUUUUUUCAUUUUAAUAUUUAAUAUAAAUAAAUAAUAAUUAAAUAGAAUAAAAAGAAGUCUAUUUUGUCCUCUAUUUGUAUUUUUUAUUCCUAAAAAAUAGCAAAUGAAUAUAGAAGUGAAAUAGAAGGCUUAGAAGAGAGAUAAUGAAAUUAUGUGAUUGGGUCUUCCAAAAGCAAAGGAAUGAUCCAUUUUUUAGUUAAAUGAUCUGAUGAGUCCAACAGACAAUUAAUUAUAACAAAUAUCUAAAUUUUAAAUAAAGGAUGAUAAAUGAAUAGGGUCUCCUUAUAUUCCAAAUGUCUUGUGAUCUUCAACCAAUUAUGUGCUUCAAUAUAAUUACCAGGAGUAAGUGCUAUAGCCUAUUUCCAAUACUCAGUGGCUUGAUCGAACCAAGCCUCUGCAAUUUCAGAUCUCCCUAUUGAAUGGCCUGUUCUCCCCGUCCGGAAUAGGUAGUUCAAUUCCUUCCCUUAGAACCAUACUUGAGAAUUUCUUACCUCAUACGGUUCAACAGUCAAUUCUUUUGGUGUCCCAUUUUGAUCUAUACCAUAUCUAUCUAAUCAGAUUUCUCAUGGAUCUAUCCCAGUUUUAGGGUUAACCAAAACAAAAAUAGGUUAAUUACAUGAGUUUCAAACUUAAAUUUGGAUGAAUAAUCCGUUUAUUUAGUUUUAUCUUUUUCCCACCUUCAGAAGAAUAAAGCAUAGGUAUUUCUACUACUGGUAGAAUUUUCUGAAAGGUAACUAUCUCGGUUUCAUAGAUAAAUUUAUAUAGAAUCUUUGAAAAAAGACUUUCUUUCAUAAGAAAGAAAAUACUUACUAUCUUUGGGAUCUGAUCCUACACCGCUGCUCAAGGGGGAAGUUCUUAUUAUUUAGGUUAGUUAGGUAUUUCUAUUAAAAAAAAGGUAAAAAAUAAAAAUUGGGUUGCGCUAUAUAUAUGAAAGAGUAUACAAUAGUGAUGUAUUUGGAAAAUCAAAUACCAUGGUCUAAUAAUCAACCAUUCUGAUUAAUUGAUAAUAUUAGUAUUAGUUGGAAAUUUUCUGAAAGAUUCCUGUGAAAAGUUUCAUUAACGCGUAAUUCGUGUCGAGUAGACCUUGUUGUUGUGAGAAUUCUUAAUUCAUGAGUUUUAGGGAGGGAUUUAUGUUACCACAAAUAGAGACUAAAGCAAGUGUUGGAUUCAAAGCUAGUGUUAAAGAGUACAAAUUGACUUAUUAUACUCCUGAGUACCAAACCAAGGAUACUGAUAUAUUGGCAACAUUCCAAGUAACUCCUCAACCUGGAGUUCCACCUGAAGAAGCAGGAGCCGCGGUAGCUGCCAAAUCUUCUACUGGUACAUGGACAACUACAUGGACCGAUGGACUUACCAGUCUUGAUUGUUACAAAGGGCGAUGCUACCAUAUCGAGCGUGUUGUUGGAGAAAAAGAUCAAUAUAUUGCUUAUGUACCUUACCCUUUAGAACUUUUUGAAGAAGGUUCCAUUACCAACAUGUUUACUUCCAUUGUAGGUAAUGUGUUUUGGUUCAAAGCCCUGUGCGCUCUACGUCUGGAAGAUCUACGAGUCCCUACUUCUUAUAUUAAAACUUUCCAAGGUCCGCCUCAUGGGAUCCAAGUUGAAAGACAUAAAUUGAACAAGUAUGGUUGUCCCCUGUUAGGAUGUACUAUUAAACCUAAAUUGGGGUUAUCUGCUAAAAACUACGGUAGAGCUGUUUAUGACUAAACCCUUUGUCAUAUAUAUAUAUAUAAAUGCUCGGGCUAGAACUGUGGCUAAAAGUGUGUAAGUCUAUAAAUCCAUUGCCUAAGGUAAACUCUAGGACUAAAUCAUCAUAAAAGCAUAGAACGGGUCAGAAUCCCCCUCGAUCGAGGCAAAUAGCAGUAGCAAAAUGGUGGACCAAAAUUUAGCUCGGUCAAAUCUCUAAAACAUCAAAUUUAGUCUCAAAUGCUUAUAAUUUAUUCAUUAAGAUAGUACGAUUCUCGUUAUGAAAGUAUUCAUUUUAAAAGUGAAAAGUGUAAAUAAAUCCCUUUUAAGUAGUAAAACCAUAUUUUUGGUAGGAAUUGUACCAUUUACAGUUUUAGUGAGCAUGAAUGUGCCGAAUCUAUGCAUGCCAUUACCAAUAUCCAAAAAAUAUGAUUAUUAGCAUCUAAAUGUCUAAAAAUUAUAGCCACAUACUUUAGGAUAAACCACUUCCCAAAAUCCAAAAAAUACCAUAAUCACGACCAUGGGCCCAAUAAUAAAUAGUCGGCAUAACCGUAAUACCAUCUGGGAAACCAUCACCAUCCACUGCAUCUACACAUCAUUAGGAGUAAAAUGAGACCAGUAUUACUAUAUUAAGGGUCGGAUCAAAAUUUGCGUCAAGAACGGGUCUUGGUAAACAAAAUCCAAAAUUGAAUCCAUCACGAGGUCCCUCAAAGGACAAGGAAUAUGUGCUCAAAAGUUAAGCAUAAAUAGAGCGUAAAUUAGGUCUCAAAUAAACCCUUAAUUUUUAGGAAUUUAAUACCUAAUUUCUAAGAAUUUACCAUGAAUUAGGAUGGUAAUUGAAGGUAAAAUUAAUAGGAAAUGACUAAGGAGAGUUAGGCUAGCUUAUAUGGAUGAUUUGACACUUUUUCCUCUCAUUGAGCUCUUAAUUUGGCAUGAAAAUAGCGGAAACUUUGGUGGGGAAAAGGGGACCAAGUGGCUCUUAAGCGGCCACUCUAUCUCUUAAGCAAAAAUUGUUUAAAUAGGUCCAUGAUCAUUAAGAGAUUUGUCACCAGAGUCGGGUAUCUCUUAAUCGACUCGCAGGCUGAUUAAGCAAUGCCCACUUAAGUAGACACAAACAUCACUUAUGUGACCCUUGAUUAGAUGGUCAAGGUUGCUUAAGCAAAAUUAUGUCGCAUACGUGAUGACCGCUUAAAUGGUCAUAUGAUCGCUUAAGCGGUUGCAUCAACAACAUGAUGCUUAAGAUUUUUCUAAGUCUAAAUUGGACUUUGAUCGGAUGCUCGAGAUUCAUUUUAAACCCCGUACAUGCAAAUGAAAUAUACUAUCAUACCAAAUUUGACAUUUUGGACUCAAUAAAACCAUCAAAUUUUAUCCAAGAUCAUUUGAAUAAAUAUGGGUCCCAAACCUAUAGUUCUAUUUUUCAUAUAAUUCAACCAAUAACCCAAAAUGAGUCCAAAAGACUCGAGACCUGAACCACGGGUACCCCUAACCUAAAAUUAAUAUUUUGGAGCUAAUGGCGCUGUCAAAAUCUCAUUCAAGGUCUUUACAGGAGUUUUGGUCCAAGACCAAAUCCUAAACAACAAAAGCUCCAAAAAAGAGAAAUGAGCCUAAAAUUAAAAAAAACUAUCCCGUAUCCAAACCGAUAGUUCCAGCAAGUUAUAAAUAACCUAUAGCUUCUAUGUGAAGGCUCAAAAAGCUGGAAAUGCAUGAAAAUUAAGGAAAUAAUCUAGAGGGCAAUUAUAAUAUCCAGUACCAAAAAGGACUUUUGUCGUUGAAAGUCAAAUAGAUAGAUGAAGCAUGAAAAUUCUUGAUGAGGUACUGGGUCUGCAUGCUUUAAGAAUGGCUCCACAAAUAACCUCCAAGAAGAGAAAACACUUCCAAGGGAUCUUGCCACACGUUUCCCUUUUCCAACCAACUUCUGCACUUCACUCUCAAAAAACCAAAACUUAAUCUCAACUACUAACUGGCCUCCAACUAAACCGAGUAAGGCUGAUGAAUGCGAAUACAAACUACAACACCCUGAUACCAGAACAACCAAGAAAAAAAUCAUCCACGCCUAAGAAAAACCAAGGUAUGAGCCAUGCUACUAACUCUAAAAUCCAAAUAUAACUUCUCUUACCUUUCCAAACCUGCUCUACUUUAAACCAAGAAGAAGAUCACUCAAGUCCUAUCUGUGCUAGUCCAUGAUGCGAAACUCUAAGAAUAAAAGGUGAUCUACCACAAAUUUAAUAAUGGCAACCAUGAGAAUAAGCUCGUAUAAGUUCUACCUGGACACACAAAUGGAAAUGACCAAUGUCUAAAAUCUAUGCUAAUACUAUAGGUAGUUCGGAUAACCAUCAAAACUAAAAUUCAGAAGUCCAAAGAAAAACUACUCAUAACUGAAUAACCCUCUUUAGGAUGCUUCAUCAAUCGAGGAUGAAUCUAUGCUGAAUCUAACUUAUGAACACUACUUUUGUUGGGAAGAUCGUCUAAAUUCUUUGAUAAGAACUAAAACCUUAGGUCAAAGAUGAAGGAACUAAUACCGUUCCCAUUGGAUAUCAUCUGAACACCUAUCAAACAUACUCUAUUUGAACUGAAAAAGAUCGAAUAGGUAGACAAGAGGUAGGCUUAACCAUCCUAUAGAUAAAAUCCCAACAGAGGCAAAUCUAAAAAUAAAGGUUGUACCCAAGGAAUACUAAUUCACCUUCACUGCUAUCACCUUCUCAAAAAUCGGACUAUCCUUGCCAAAAUAAGAUGUAAGGCUUGGCAAAGUUCCCUUGUAGUUUGAGCCAUAGGGCGUGUCAAGUGAGGCGUGAUUUCAACCAUAAAAGGAUUGAAAAGUGGCUUCCUAAGUGAGUAUCAUGUUAACCAUUUAGAAUUUCCCUACUUUAGACUUUUUAUCAUGUGAGAAAUCUGAUAAGCUUUUCAUCGAUAUAAGAUUUUCCCAAAUCCGAUACCCGAGUAAGAAGUUAUGGCUAAUUUAAGCCUUAGUCGUAAACUAUAUCAUUUAAGUGAUUGGCAUAUCGCGGAGAGGGUUUAUUUGGAAAUUUUCAAUUUUUAGUGGGACUCCGCAAUAGUGGCGUAUCAUAAAGGAGCCCAAUUUUCCAAUAGUCAAUUUCCAGUGGAACCCCGUGAGAGUGGCAUGUCGUAAAGGAGUUCCAGGUCCUAACUAAUUGGACAACGCGAUGGCUCUGCAUUGCGAGGACUCCCAUUGUACGAAUUUUCAAUUUCCAAUGAGCCACCAUGAUAAGUGGUGUGUCGCAGUGGCCUAUGAAAUUGGGUUCCCAGUUUAAUUUUUCCAGAUUCGUGCAAAAGUCAAAAAGGGCACUUUGGACUUUUUCCAAGCCUAUAAAACCAUGUAAACACCAAAUCAAGGCCAUUUACAAACAUCCUAUGAGGUUUUUCUCAAGUUUUCACUCAUCAAAAACCCUAAGUAUCAAAAACCUCUUCCAAAAAUCUCAAGAAUCCACCAUGAAUUUUCUAAAUUGAGUCAAGAUUCAAGGUUCCCAAGUCAAGGGCCUCAAGAACCCUCAUUCAAGAGCACAAAUAGAGUUCCAAGAGUGAGAUUUCAUCCAAAUCUUCUAAUUCAAGGUAUGUGGGGUUUUGAACAAGGGUAACCCUUUCACCCUUGUGCGUAAAAGGCUUAUUUACAUCAUGAUUUUCCUUAAAUCUAUGAGAUAUUUACAUGAAUUUAAAUUGGAAUUUUCACCCAUUAUUAUUGAAUGCAUUAUCUUGAUAUUUUCCAUGAAUUAAGAGUCAAAUGGCAUGAUUUAUACAUGUUUUCUUAAGCAUUUACAGAUGGGUAUAAACCCCAUGAUUUUACUCCUUGAGAAGCUAGUACUUGCAAUGUUUGAGAUAUUGAAGCAUAUGACUAUAUUGAUAUUUUGAGAUAAGUUCCUGAAAUUCCCAGAUUUUCACAUGAUUUAUGAAUCUGUAUGCUAUAUAUUAUGCUUUUGAUAAGCUUUAACUUGAGAUUGAGCUAUGGGUUAGUAAGCCUCAUUUGAGACUUAUGAAUUCAUUAAUUCUUAUGCUACAAGUACCCGUGAUUUGAGUGCUUUGAGAUGAUUGAGAGAUGAAUUGACCAAAUGGUCCUUGAGCUUUGAAAUCCACUUCACUAUAUGAGAUUAUCAAUUUGAUUAUUGGGUUCGUGGUGAACCAUGAGAUUAUUUUAAAAAUGGAUUUUUAUGAGAUAAGCACAGAUAAUCUAAAAGGAGUAUUAUUUAGUACCGAGUGGGUAAGUUACUAUAGUUUCUUACCCCAAAACUACGUGCCACUGUAGGUUGGUACUGAGGCUGAGUUUAUGAUGAUUAUGAUUGGGCCCAAGGCCGAGUUUUGUUUAGUGAUUACUAGACCUAGGUUAUACUCCCUGGCAAGAGUAUGACGCUCUUUCCCAACGUGGGGUCUCUUCCUUAGGAGGAAAAAACAUUGGACUCCAUAUAACUCACAUGGUUUAUGUUGGUUACGAGAACCUCUUUUACCCUUCAAACUUUGAGAUCAAAUACUUAUUUUUCUUUCCUAUAAGCUAUUUUCCUAAAUGGUUGAAUUGAAAAGAUGUUGCCUAACUAAAGUAUUUUCUUGAUGUGAGUUAUUUUUACUAAAUAAAAGUAUCUUUCCUUGUUAUAGUACCUUUCAUAAAGCUUUGAGAUAAGUUGUUUCCAUAAACUAGAAUACUUUUCCAUUUGAGAUAGAAUGAUUUCCCUAAAGCUUAAAAUGAAAUAUUUUCCUAAGGUGAAUAAAAUGCCUUCAAGUCAUAUGAUUCCGAAUUCCAAGUAUAUGAGUUCUAAAUAGUUAUGAAAUAUUGAACAUUGAAAAGGUUUUGCUCUCUAUGAGACACAUUCAUGAGUUGAAAUUAUUGUUUAAAGUUCCUUCCUUAUUGGGUAUUAAGAAUAAGAGAAGAUUUCUAUAGUUAAACAAUGAUAAAUCAUGAGAUUUGUGUUAAAUGCCCCAUUCUACAUUGACCUAUGAGCUUUAUAUUUUAUACUUGUUCAAGCCAUGUGAGUCAUCUCAUUGUGCAUACAUAAUUUGAUUAAAGAAGAUUGUUACUACUUUAUACAUAUGCAUUCACCCCCGCAUACUCAGUACAUUCCAAGUACUGAUUCACAUAUAUGUCUAUGUGCUACAUUGUGUCAUAAUAUAGGUUUAGGUGCUUAGUCCCAGCCUAGAUCGUGAUUCUCCGAGUACCUUGCCUACGUUUUCUGCAGUGGUGAGUCCUCAUGGUCUGAGAGCCGAUCUUCAGAUGUUUAUUGUACUUGAGAGGCUAUGUUUUAUCUUCAGUUCAUUUCAAGUCAGUUGGAGACCGGUCCCAAUGACUCUCUAGAUUUUGAUUUGUACAAGUUUGUCAGACUAAUGUCAUACUAGUGCCAAACUUAUGACAUAUCGAGGGCUCGGUAUUGUGGUUUUAGUUUUCUCUAUAUUAUGGUCAUAUGGACCGAGUAUCUUUUCCAUAUUUCUUUUCAUAUGAUACGACUAUGCGAGUAUUGAGUCUAUUCUUAUCUUGAAUUGAGUGUCAUUGGUAGAAACUGGCUCUAAGGGUUAGCUUGGGGCUACUCGCAGCCUUAAGCACCGUGUGACAUCCCGAGAGUAGAUUUCAGGUUGUUACAAACUUGAUAUCAGAGCCUAGGGUUUCUAAGGAGUCUUAGGGAAUCUGACAAGCCACAUUGAUUAGGUUCUUGAUCAUCGGUGUGUGGCGCGCCACAUCUUUGAGCAAGAGGCUAUGAGAAAUUUUAUGAAAAAAUUGUUUCUUCUUUUAGAUUCUAUCGUGCCUAUAGUUGUCCCUCUUGUCUAAUGAUCUAUGCUCUUCUAUUUUCAAAAAAUGCCUCUUCAAAGAGAGACUGUCCAUAAGAACACUUAUUAGCAACCCCCACAUGUUAAUCCUUUGAAUAAGAUGGUGUCGUAUACUGAGUUUAGGGUGGCCUUUCAAGCGCUAGCCCAAGCGGUCACCGCAAAUAUUUGAGCCAAUAAUCAGGCCCUAGUUUCUAAUCAAUAGGGUGGUGAUAUAGCCGUGGCUAGGAUUUGUGACUUUAUAUGGAUAAAUCCACCUGAGUUCUAUCGGUCCAAGGUAGACGAGGAACUUCAGUUGUACUUGGAGAAAGUGAGGAAGAUCACUAACGUGAUGCAAGUUUUAGGAGAAAAAAGUGUUGAUUUAGCAUCCUAUAGGCUGAAGGCCAUUGCUAAUGAUUGGGUUGUAUUAUGGAAAAAGGGUAGAGGUAGGAAUGCCACUCCUAUGACUUGGCAAGUGUUCCAAGAUGCCUUCUUGGACCAAUUCUUUUUGCUUGAGAUGAGUGAGGCAAAGAUUGAGGAGUUCAUGAACUUGAGACAGGGCUCCAUGGCUGUUAAGGAGUACUACUUAAAGUUCACUUAUUCUUCCAAGUACGCUCCUAAUUUGAUUUCUGAUACCCGGGCUAGUAUGAGUAAGUUUGUGACUAGUAUUUCUGGGAUGGUACUGAAAGAGUAUAGGGCCACGAUGUUGCAUAAGGAUAUAGAUCUAACUAUGCAUGCCCAAAAUAUAGAGGCAGAUAAACUGAGAGAGAGAGAAAGAAUUAGGGGUUGCAAAAGGGUGAGAUUUGAUCAGCAUAAAUUUAGCCAGCCUAGGUUCCAUGGAUAGAGUCGCCCUCAGUUUCAGAGAUGUCUAUCAGUUUUAGUUCCUUCAUCAGCUAGUGCUCCUAUGGUUAGAGGCAGGCCGGAGCAAGGGAGUAGGCCUUUCUUUUCUGGGUUGCAAAAUAGUGUUGGCAAUAGGCCCCAUUAUCCUUCUUGUGCUAAAUAUGGUAGGAAUCACCUGGGGGAGUAUUUCAUAGAUUUAAGGGGUUGUUUUGGUUGUGGAAACCAGGGCCACAAACUUAGAGAUUUCCCCCAUGCUAGAUAGGGGAACAGAGAUGCCCGAUCUCAGGCACAGGCUGCUAGUGCACCAACUUCGGUAAUUCAUCCAGUCCCUGCUUAGGGCGCUUUUUCCAGAACUGUUGGUGGUCAGCUCCAGAACAGAUUCUAUACCUUACCAUCCCAUCGGGAGUAGGAGGACUCCCCUGAUAUGUUUUCUUUUUAUAAGGGCUAAAAUCACUUAUUUUGGCUGUUACUGGUAUGGUUCAUGUCUUUUGCUUCGAUGUUUAUGUGUUGUUGGAUCCUAGGUCAAACCUCUCUUAUGUGACCCCAUUUGUAGCUGUGAAUUUAAAAAUAAGUCCCAAAAAGAUUUCUGAGCCUUUCCUAAUUUCUACACUAGUAGGGGAGUCUGUUGUUGCUAAACAAGUGUAUAGAAAUUGACCUGUUACUGUGCUUUAUAGAGUCAUACUUACGAAUUUGAUAGAGUUAGACAUAGUAGAUUUUAACCUUAUUCUGGGUAUGGAUUGGCUUUAUUCUUGUUAUGCAUCUAUAGAUUGUCGUACUCGUGUGGUCAAGUUUUAGUUUCCUGAUGAACUAGUGUUUAAGUGGUCCAGAUGUUCGGUAUCUCCCAAGAGUCAUUUUAUCUCCUAUAUAAAAGUUGGAAAUCUUAUAUCAAAAUGUUGCAUCUACCACCAAGUUAGAGUCAAAGACACUAAGUUCGAGACUCCAACUAUCCAGUCGGUAGAUAUUGGUAAUGAGUUCCUCGAUGUUUUUUUGAAAGAUCUCCUAGGGGUACCUCCCGAUAGAGAGAUAGAGUUCAGAAUUGACCUUCUUCCCAACACUCAGCCUAUUUCUAUUCCGCCAUAUCGUAUGGCACUUGCUGAGUUUAAGGAGUUGAAGGAGCAACUUAAAUAUCUCUUAGAGAAAGGUUUCAUUAGACCCAGUAUUUCUUCUUGGGGCGUACCUAUUUUAUUCGUGUGAAAGAAAGAUAGAGCUUUGCAUAUGUGCAUUAAUUACCAUUAACUGAAUAAGGUCACAGUAAAAAAUAUGUAUCUUCUUCCGAGAAUUGAUGACCUUUUUGAUCAGUUGGAACGUGCAAGUUAUUUCUCCAAUAUAGACCUUAGAUCCGGCUAUCAUCAACUUAAGGUGAGGGAAUGUGAUAUUCCAAAGAUAGCCUUUCAGAUCUGCUAUGGUCACUUUGAGUUUCUAGUCAUGUCUUUUGGGCUAAACAAUGCCCCGGUAGCCUUCAUGGACCUCAUGAAUCAAGUGUUUAAGCAAUACUUUGAUACGUUUGUCAUUGUCUUCAUAUAUGACAUCCUUGUGUAUUCCCGUAAUGAGAAUGACUAUGCAGCUCAUCUUAAAAUUGUCUUGCAAACUCUUAGAGAUCACUAGUUGUUCACCAAAUUUAGUAAGUGUGAAUUUUGGCUAAGGUCUGUAGCCUUUCUGGGUCAUGUUGUUUCAGUUAAGGGUAUUAAAGUUGAUCCCCAAAUGACAGAAGCCGCUUGAAAUUAGCCUAGACCUAUUUCUCUAUCUGACAUUAGGAGUUUUUUGGGUUUAAUUGGAUAUUACCGUUAUUUUGUUGAGGGUUUCUCUUUUAUUGCAUCUCCUAUGACUCGGUUGACCCAAAAGAAAGUUAAUUUCCAAUGGUAUGAUUCCUGUGAGAAGGGUUUUUAGGAGUUGAAGACUUGACUCACUUCAGCCCCUGUGUUGACUUUGCCUGAUAGUACCGAUGGUUUUAUGGUGUAUUGUGAUUUCUCUAGAUUUGGUUUGGGUUGCGUGUUGAUGCAAAGAGGUAAGGUUAUAGCCUUUGCCUUUAGAUAGUUGAAGCCGCAUAAAAAGAACUACCUGACCCAUGAUCUUGAGUUAGCUGCUGUGGUCUUUGCUUUGAAAAUCUAGAGAUACUAUCUUUAUGGUGUCCACGUUAAUGUGUUUACUGAUCAUAAAAGCCUUCAGUAUGUGUUUACCCAGAAGAAGUUAAAUCUUAGGUAGAGGAGGUGGUUAGAGUUGUUGAAAAAUUAUGAUAUGUGUGUUGUAUCACCCAGGCAAGGCCAAAGUAGUAGCAGAUGCCCUUAGCAGAUUGUCUAUGGGUAGUGUUACGCAUAUUGAGAAAGGUAAGAGAGAGUUAGAUCGUGAUGUGCAUUUUAUGGCUAGGUUGGGUGUUAGAUUGCUUGAUUCAGUAGAGGGGAUUAUGUUGGUGCAGAGUAGUUCCGAAUCCUCCUUAGUUUCAGAAGUAAAGGAGAAGUAGGAUAUGGAUCCUUGUUUGGUCAAACUGAAGAAGUCAGUUAAGGAACAAAAGGUCGAGGACUUCUCCCAAAGGGGAGAUGGUGUGUUGAGAUUGCAUAGUAGGUUGUGUGUCCCGUGUGUUGAUGAUUUGAGGUAGAGAAUUAUGGGUGAAGUGCAUGGCGCAUAUUAUUCCAUUCAUCCCAGUACUUUGAAAAUGGAGUUCCCUUGUCUAUCAUUUCGGUUAGGGGUACUCAAUUUACUUCUCAGUUUUGGAGGGCAUUUCAGUAGGGUCUUGGCACCUAAGUUUCUCUAAGCUCAGGAUUUGACUCAUAGACAGAUGGUCAGGCUGAGAGGACCAUUUAGACCUUAGAGGAUAUGUUGAGGGGGUGCGUUCUUGAUUCCAAAGGUAGUUGGGAUAAGCGUUUGCCAUUGAUAGAGUUUACCUUCAACAAUAGUUUCCAUGCUAGCAUCGAGAUGGUACCAUUUGAUACCUUGUAUGGUAGGAGGUGUAGAUCACCUGUAGGUUGGUUUGAAGUGGGUGAAGCUACCGCAAUUGGAUCUGAUGGAGUCUUCUAAUCUAUGGAGAAAGUUAAGCUGAUUAGAGAAAGGUUGAAGACCGCUCAGAGUCAUCAAAAUUUUUAUACAGAUGUGGGGAGGAGAGAUCUUGAGUUUGAGGUAGGUGAUUUGGUGUACUUGAAGAUUUCACCCAUGAAAGGGGCGAAGAAGUUUGGUAAGAAGGGAAAGUUUAGUCCCCGUUAUGUUGGCCCAUAUUGAAUUUUGAGCCGUGUUGGUAGAGUGGCCCAUGAGGUUUAGUUGCCCUCGGAGUUGUCCGCCGUUCAUCCUAUUUUUCAUGUCUCCAUUCUUAAGAAGCAUAUUGGUGAUUCUAUGGUGGUUUAUCCUUCAGAGAGUGUUGAUAUUCAGGAUAGCCUUUCCUUCGAUGAGAUUCUCGUGGAGAUCUUAGAUUUUCAGAUGCGUAGACUAAGGAACAAAGAAUUUCCCUUGGUCAAAGUUUUGUGGCAGAACCAGUCUGUUGAGGGUGCUACUUGGGAGGCAGAAGCAAACAUGCGAGCCAAGUACCCGGACCUCUUUUCCAUGAGUUCAGAUCAAUCUGAAGGUACUAUUUUUCCUUGAUUCAGCUCUUCUAAUCUAAAGUUCAGAUAUGCAUCAAUCCUUGUAUGAGUUCUUGCUUUAUCCGGAGUAUUCAUGAGUUUAGAAAAACCUUGAACCGUUUAGCAAUUGUUUCAGCUAUGUUCACUCUAUCUUUCCUGUAUUCCAAGCCUAACUAGCGACAUUCGAGGAUGAACGUUCCCAAGGGGGAGAUAUUGUAAGGCCCCGCAAAGUUCCCUCGUAGUUUGAGUCAUACGACAUGUCAAGUGAGGCAUGAUUUCGUCCCUAAAAUGAUUGAGAAGUGGCUUCCUAAGUGAGUAUCAUGUUAACCAUAUAUAAUUUCCCUACUUUCAACUUUUUAUUACAUGAGAAAUCUAACAAGCUUUCCAUCGAUAUAAGAUUUGCCCAAAUCCGAUACCCGAGUAAAAAGUCAUGGCUAAUUUAAGCCUUAGUAAUAAACUGCAUUAUUUAAGUGAUUGGCGCAUCGUGGAGAGGGUUUAUUUGGCAAUUUUUGAUUUCCAGUGGGACUCUACGAUAGUGGCGUGUUGCGAAGAAGCCCUAUUUUCCAAUAGCCAAUUUCCUGUAACGCCCUAAAAGUUUCCAAGCUAAAAUUUGUCCUUAAAAUUAUGAAGCAUGGUAUUCUAGAGUGAAUUAUACUCAACUACCUGUGGAAUUCUUUAAAUUUUAACUUUUCAUUACGUAGGUGACUGAAUAAGCUUUCCGUUGAUAUAAGAUUCGUCCAAAACGGAUACCCCGUGAGGAAGCUAUGGCUAUUUUAUGUGCUAGUCGUAAAACAUUGUCAUUCAGGUGUUUAGCGCGUCACGGAGGAUCCCAAUUUCGCAUUCGUCAAUUUCCAGUGAGACUCGUGUCGUGGAGUGAGACAAUUUCCUAAUUGGCAAUUUCCAGUGAGCCACCACGAUUGUGGCGCUCGUGGCGGCCCAUAAAAUCUGGCACCAGUUAUAUUUUUACUCCGUCUCAUUAAGGGUAAAAAUGACACUUCUCCAACCCCUUAUCAUCUCUAACAUGGGGUUUAAUCCCAAGAACACCAAAGUAAGUUUAUUUUCAUCAAAAUCUCUCAAGAAACUCCAGUAGGGUUUCAGACUAAAAAUCCUCAUAGCUCAAGAUUUAACUGUGGGUUUUAGAAGAUAAUGGGAGAUUUGGAAUCCUCGCAUCGCAGGCUCCAAGAAUCAUCCAUUUACUUUCUAAAAUAGGGGUACGUGGGGUUGUCCCAAAUUUCAUGGGCAUGAUUUUUGAAAAGAAUUUACACAAGACCUUACUAUCUAUACUUAUACAUAUGUUUUUACAAGUGGAGUUUUGUUUUAAUAUUAAUAUCAUGUUUUGUGAUAUGGUUUUGAAAGAAAUAUUGAAAUAUCAUGGGGUUGUUGGCUUGCAUAUUAUAUUCCAAUUGUUGAAUUGUGAACAUGUGAUCUGAAUUUCGAAAAGGUGCGAUGUAUAUGAAUUGUGAAUUCUUUAAAUCCCCCAUGAUAAUAUUUUAUACCCCUCACUAUACUUGUGUUAAACCAUCGAGAGCAUGAUUUUUUGCAAUUGACAUGAUAUUACUCAUAAAUGAUUAAGUUUCUUGAAACUAUUAUAUGUUGAGAACCAUGGUGCAUAUGUUAACGACUCAUUCUUGAAACUUAACUCGAAUCAAUUCUCAUCUAAUUGGAUUUGAUUCUAUAUCUCCAAGGGCUUUUAUAUCCCACUUUCAUCACAACAAAAUAUUGGGGCUAUUUUAAGAUUCCACGAUCAUUUCCUCCCAAAACCUUUUGUAGGUAUUGCUACGAAAGCGUUUCUCCUUCCAUGCUAUCUUUUAGAACUACAUCAGUCCUUAUUCUCAUUUCUUUCAUGGAUAUUUAGGUAGCUCAAAUUUCAUGGUCGUACUCACUCUACUCAUGUCAAAAUCAUUUCAUUUUCUACUAAUAAAGAAAAUUAUGCAAUUAUAAUUCAACACCAAGGCAAAUUUUGAGAGUCUAUGAAAAUUUAUUCUAUCUUUACCUUCCUGAACGGUAUAUGGCCUGAUUUCUUAUAUAGCCCAAGAUAUGUAGGCAGAUCAAAAUUAAGAGUUUGACCAUACCCUAAACAAACAACUCAUUCCCUACUAGGACCUCUUUUCUAAUUACAUAUGAUUUGAUUUCUCGUACAACUGGAGAUAUGUAGGCAGCUUAAAAACUAGAGCGUGAUCAUAAUAUUUUUCUGCCGAGAUAAAAUUGGCUACUGCAUCAACUUGUCUGUCCAAAGACUCUUGCCUCAUCUUUGUUCAAACAUGGGCAACUGUUGACACCCAAUUUUAUCUUGUCUUUGUCAUUCUAUUAAUUUUUCUACACUUCUUAGUCCUAAAUAAUUUACUAAAAUAAAUUCAGACUUUUAUUCUAAAAAAUUUUGAAAGAAAAAAAAGGAGUUCUCUUCUCAUGUCACAUUUUUUAAUAUUUUAAUUAGAUAUAGUUAGUUACUUUUUAUAUUAAUAAUAUUUUUUGAUAUGUGCAUCCACAUUUCUUUUAGUUAUAUUAUCUCACUGUAUUAAUUAAUAAGCAUUGUUAAUCAAUUUAAUUGAAAAAACAAAGCAUUGGGCUAUUUUACUCAAACCCAAUUUCUUUAUCAAUUUUUGGACAAAAGAAAUCCAUUACUUCAGUCCAAAUUGGCUCAAACCCAAUCCAAUGCAACCAAUUCCACACCUAACACGUGAAUUCUUGUCAAACCCUCUCCUCUACUUAAAUGGUGACAUAUCUUUUCAAUAAAGAAGCAUAAUGCAUGUCAAAACAAGCACACCUCAUCUCCAUCAUCGGCUCAAUUUAGUGUAACGAUUUCUUAUUUUUUGAAUAAAAUAUAAUUUCUAUAUUUAUUUUGAAUUUACACAUAAAUUUUAUAUUGUUUAAAUUACCUUUGAUUAAUCAUAGUCAUUUGAUCAAAUGAUCAAAUGGUUCAAAAUGGUCAAACGGUCACAAAUCCCUAACUCCCUAUUUUUCCAAACCAACAUUGAUCUUUCCCUUCCUCACUACCUAAUAUAUACCAACAACCAAGAAACCCUUAGCUCUUCUCUCUUCUUCUUCCUCUCUCUCUAUCUAAACAAGAAAUGAUGGCCACCAUACACAUCACCUUCAUUCUUUUCUGCCUAGCACCAGAUGGUGUAGCAAGAUUCUCGUAAUUUUUACCCUUUUCAACCCUCAAAUCCACCGUAUAUAUGAUUUUCAUUCGAUGAAAAUACCCAAAUAAAAUUCAAAAUAAUGAUUCAAGCUCUCUAAUGGCUCUAACCUCACUUUCAUGGUUUGAAAAGGUGAUAUCAUCACUGUGAUUUUUUCUUCUUAUUUUUGAUCCAUUUUCCCCUUCUUUUGGUUUUCAAUUUUCAAAUAUUCAACCCUAUUUUGAUUUCAUUCAAAUCCAGAUUUGAAAUCCAAAAAUAUUUCAUUUCUUGACCUUAUAAAUUACCCAUGAUCUUACCCUUUAAAGACAAGUGUAGCGAUUGGGAAAAAGAGAAAAAAUCACAAGCAAAGUCACAAUAACAAAUCAUUUCAUACUGCAUACAUUAUCAAUUUCUUUCUAUUACACUACUACUUUUCUUCGUGUUUUCAAAUUCUCUUUGACUUAUAUUCGAGUUUGAGUCCUGUGUCCUGAAAAACUUGAUGUCGGAGCCUCAUGUUUGCUACCUAACACAAGGUUAACCUUUAUGAUAAUUUUAAAUUGAAAUUUUCAAUGUGUGACUGAUAUGAUAUCAUGACCCUAAAGUUGAGCUCAUGAUGACACCUAUUUCGGUCAAUCUUAUUAGGUAAGCCAAAAUUCACAAAAUUAAGGAAAUAUCAAUAAUAAGAAAAUUAACCCAUAAAUGUAAAAUUCAAGAACGAACUCAGGCCAUAACAUGUAAUAACAUGAAUUUGGACCAAAUGUAUAAAAUUUCUAAAAUAUAUGUUUCAUGAUUGUAAAGAGCAUCUAAUACAACUUAGAAUACUAAAAAUACAUAAGCAUGUCUUCGAAAGGUAAAUAAUUACAACUAAGAUAAGAUGAGGUCUAGAAUCUUCCCCAAAGUCUAAAGCUCGCCAGUACCUCAAGAUGUCACUCUGAUAGCAUGAACUUUCCUUCCAUGAGCCAUUGUCCAACUAGGAUCUGCACCGAAAGGCGCAAAGUAGGAAUGAGUAUGAUCCUCUUGUACUUAGUAGGUAUUAUAGGACGACUGAACAAAGCAAAGGAUAAAAUAAAAUAAAAGAUGUUAUGAGCAUGUAACCUGCAAAUAGAAAAGUUCUCAAAUGAUAGCCCACACCGUCUCCACUAACAAUUAUAUAACAUAUAAUAAGUCAAAAAGGAUAGCUAAACACGUAGUAUAUAUAAGAAACGCAACAACUAAUAUAUAAAGAAAUACGCAUAAUGUAAUGAAAUGAAGCAAUGAUCGUGGAAAUUUCAUAUACACCUUCCAAGCCUUCAUUCUUCAAGACAAGACCCACGGAGGUUUGGAAUUCAUAUACUUUAUCAUAAUCUCAAUAUCAUAUCUCAAUCAACCCUGCCAACACGUCUCUCGAUAUAGACAUUUUAUAAAGUAUCUCAAUUUUUAUCAAAAGUUAGUAUUGCUAAAUCAAUCCUAAUAGCACAUCCCCUAAUAGGCAUUUUAUAAAAUGUCUCAUUUUCUAUCAAAAAUUAAUAUUUUCAGUGACACCAAUCACAUGAAUAUGUAUAGAUGAAAUAAGGAUGUAAAAUGCACAACCAAUCAGUAUAAAGAUAUUUAUCAACUCAAUACAAGUAUAAAUGAGCUCACAUUCAACUCAAGAUGUCAAUAAUUCUUAUUAUUAGAUCUCACUCGGUACCAUUAGAAUGAUUAGUCAUGUAAGACAUCAAUGAUAUCAUUUUCAAAUAAAUAAAUACUCAUGUAAGGCCUAUAAUAAUAACUCAAUCUCCCAGUCGUGUGACACAAAAAUAAAUAAGGAAAGUCAGUGUACAUGUAAGACCUAGAAUAUCAUAUAAAGCCCCCACUGGGCAUCAUAAUAAUUAUAUUCUCCCAAGUCAACAAUAAUAUACAAAUAAGCCUCACACGAGCACAUGAUAAAAUAACAAUACUAAAAUAUAAAUCUCAUGACUAAACUCGCAAACCCAUAGCAUGCUUUACAUGCUCAUUAACUAUCCGACCUAUUCUGAAGAAAGCUAAGUCGUAAUCUACAUUGAAGUGCCAAAAUUCAAGUCUAGAACCUUUAGCAUAGAGCCUUUCCCUUGCAAAUGGACUUCACACAAGUUAAAAAUACCAAAUAUGUGAUUUAAGAAGUAAAACAAUGUCAAUGAUACCUAUAUUAGGUAUAUUAGAAUUGAGUCCAAAAUGGAUUUAAAAAAUGGGUUCACACAUAAAAGGGGUAAAAUUAGAAUUCUAUUUUAAAAAUAUGUUCCCCGUGAUCAUAGUAAUCUACAAUUGAAAAUUCACGCGAAAACAAGUAGAAACUGAUGUUCAAAUCAAAGAAAAGUUAUUAUAAAGUCUUACCGGCAAAAUCCUUCAAAAUUCAUUUAAAAUCGAGAUGACAAGGUAUUUUUUGAAGAUAUAAUCACUAGAAAAUAAUGGAAAGACGAAUUUAGAGCUUACCCAAGAAAGAAUGGUGGAGAAAAUCCUAAGAAUCACCUUUUUCAAAGCAUCAAGGUCCAAACAUAAAAAAAUGUGAAAAUGAACUAUUUAUACUGUUCUGUGAACAAUACCUCAUGAUCGCAGCUCAAGCCUCAUAAUUGUGAGGGUAAGCAUUGAGUUGGCCAAAUAAUUACUCAUCACAUUUGUGGUUAUCCUCCCGCAUUUAUGAAUGCUGAAGAUAAGGACACAUCGCGAUCACGACAACUUUGUCGCAUUUGUGAUAAAAGAGGAAAACCCCACCCGAUUUAAUUACUCUUCGCGAUCAUGAUGAAAUAAAUCAUUCUACUUUUAAUUUGUAUCUAGGGGCCCACAUUUGCAAAGAACGAUGCUUGAGGCACUAAAUAUUAGCAAAAAUGUUGAGUUUGCCUGUUUUGAAAUUCUUCGAACGGGCCCUUGAGAUUCCUUAGGAACCACACAAAACUAAUUCAUAUAUGCUAAUGGGCUAAUUUUGAAAUUCUGGACUCAAUGACAAUAUUGAAUUUUUAAAAAAUAGAUUGUUUAUAACAAAUUAUCCCUCGAAACCCCGUUUUAGCUUAUUUCACUAUUUCUAUAUGAAGGAUCAAAAUACAAAAUAAAGAUUUCAAACCAGAACCAACUCUGCUGUGAUAAUUGACAUUCCAAACCUAAUAAAUUUUUUUAAAUCACCAUCCGGUGCUCGAAAUACAACAUAUUGAUUGAAGUUAAGCUAAUGACUUUUAAAGCCUCGACUAGUCUCAAGUAUUUUCAAAUCACUCCAGAAUGCAUUGAGGACUAUGCCAAUCGUCCACACAUUUUAUAAAUAGCAUGUAACAACUAUAGAAAAUGAUAGAAAAAUCAAAAUUCAUUCACAAAAAAAGAAAAUUUCACAAUCAAGGUUGUUACAUAGGGUUUCAUAAAUUACUGUAAGUGUGAUUUUCUAUCCCGUCUUGAUGUUAUUGUUGCUUCUCUGUGAAAAUUUAGUCCUAUUACCUCGUCUUGAUUUAUGAUUGUAAAAUGUGUGGCUGCUUUUUAUUUAUAAUAAGUUAGCUAUUAUCCUCCCUCAUUUUCGUUUCCUUCAUUACAUUUUGUCUACUAAAAGUUGAGUUCAAUUUUUAAGUUUGUCUUAACUCGGAUAUACAACUUUUGUAUAUGAUGUAAUGUAGAACCUCAUCUUAUUUGCUUUAUUUUCAGCUUAUUUAUUCACAAUAUGUCCAUGAAUAUGUGAUAAGCAUUUAGUCCUUUUAUUAAUUUGCAGUAAUGGGGAAGUGAUACUACGUGAAUUUGUAGCUCCAAAUUGUAUUGAAAAUGCAAAAAGUGGUUAAUACCAAGUUAUAGCUUCAUGUUUCUUUAUUGUUUUGACUCCCAGUCAUUUGGAUAACUUGAUGCCUUAUUUUAACCAAUGGAUAUGUAUUAGAAACUCAUUUAUAUUCGCGUGUUAAAAUUUGUUGAGUCAUAUUAUAUCUCAUCUAAAUUCAAUUGAUCAUUUGCUAAUUGAAGUACUCUUAACACAUUCUGGAAAAUUGUGUUCAAAUUUUCCAUGCUUACACUUAUUUGUGUGAGAUUUUCUACAUAUUAGAUCAUGAAAUAUUUGAUAAAAAAGAAAUAUAAUUUGCAGUCUUACAAGUAUCUACUUAGGAUGUAUUGCUUCUUUUUGGUACUUUCUAUAUUUGGUAACUCAUUGAAAAGGUGUAGAUGUGUUUGGAUAGCUUAGUGCCUCGCAACUUUAUCACAAUUACAUAUUAUGUGAGAAGUUUAUUUCAAAUACUUUCUUACCAAUAUAUUCUUGAAUGACGGUGUGUAAACAGUUGGAUUGGUUAGCAUCUUGUUUAAGUUCAAAAAAUAGUUGAAGUAUUUAUCUCAUGUAUUAAUUUUGUUGAGAUUAAGAUUAUGCUAAUUUUUCCUAUGUUUUGUUUACAUGUGUACUUGGUAGCAUAUUUGAAGUUCAGAUGAACUCCAUCCCUAUCCAAAUUGAAGCUUGCGUCUGCUAUUACCUUGUAUUACUCAAGUCUAGCUUUCCUUAAAGGUUCUCAAAUGUUGAUGAAUUCUAUAAAAGAAUCUAACACUUUUUCCUAUUUAGUCUUAUUCUUGCUUGCCUAAUUGUAUUGCCUGUUAUUGUUUACUAACACUCUCUUGUUAGGUUACGGGUCUUUUUCUCUUCCUAUGUAAAUAAAUGAAGUCCAAUUUAGACCAAUCCACUUUUGCACAUAGGCACAUUAGGUCAUAUUUCACAUCCACAAAAAGAGAGUUUCAACAGCCAGAUAAAAUAAGAGCUGAUUUUCGUACCUAAAAUUCCAACCACAACGUCAACUUCAAAUUGCGAUCCCCGCUUCAUUUCUUGCCCAAUUAAGUUGAUAUUUGGAUAGCUUGUUCCUAUCAUCUCAAUAUUUGAUUAUAAAAUAAUGGUGGUGGACUUGGUGACCUGUAUCUCCUGUUUUUCAUUCCCGAACAGCAGCUACAUUUUAAAUAUUUUUACACAUUUUUAUUCUCUAGUUUUGGUGCUAUCUUGUUGUGUUGUUGCUCAUUGUUUGACACUUUUUUGGUGGCCAUUUUAGAGAAUAAUAUUGUAAAUCUUGGUGAUUAUAGUGGAGGUUUUGGUCCCGUAAUAUUUACUCUUCACACCGAAGGAUUUUUCACAUAAAUUUAGUGUCUUGUUAUUCUUGUCUUAUCGUAUUUGUAUGAUUGAUUUAUUUGCUGCCAUAUUCUUUAUUUUGCUUGGAUUUUCUUAUCUCUUCUUGGUUCAAAUUGAAAGGAAAAGUUUAGACUUGGGUAUUCUUUCGUUAUUAACCCGUUGGACACUUUGAUAGUGCCCAUGCCUUUUUUCCAACAAAGUGGUAUCAGAGCAUUGGUUGUUGUUAAUUAUUGAUUUGAAUGAUGGAGACCAAUAUGAGCAAAAUGGUGUGUUUGAAUGGUAGUAAUUAUCAGAGUUGGAAAGGAAAGAUGAAAGAUCUUCUCUUUGUCAAGAAAAUGCAUUACCUGUGUUUGCGUCUACUAAACCUCAAUCCAUGACAGAUGAGGAUUGAGAAUUUGAGCACUUGCAGGUUUGUGGAUAUAUUAGACAAUGGGUUGAAGAUACUGUUAAAAACCAUAUUGUGAAUGAGACACAUGUCAGAAGUUUUUGGAACAAGCUCGAGACACUUUAUGCUUCAAAUAUUGGCAAUAACAAGUUCCUGCUUAAGCAAUUGAUGAAUAUCCGGUAUAAAGAGAGCUGUCCUAUUUUUGAUCAUAUAAAUAAUUUUUAGGGUAUUCUUCACUAGUUGUCUGGAAUGGGUGUAAAUUUCGAUGAAGAAAUUCAGGGACUUUGGCUUCUUAAUACUCUGCCUGACUCUUCAAAAACUCCUUGAGUUUCCUUGACUAAUUCUACUCCUAGAGUAUUGUAACUAUGGAAUAUGUUAAGAGUGGUGUCUUGAAUAAAGAGAUAAGGAGAAAAUCUCAGGCCUCAUCUUCUUCAUCUUCACACUUUGAUGUUUUGGUUAUUAAAGAAAGAAAGAAAAACAAGUCAAGAGGUUCAAAUGAUAUAGAUAAAAGUAGAAGCAAGUCAAGGUCAAAAUUCAAGAAUGUUACAUAUGGCUAUUACAAUAAAAAAGGGCAUAUCAUGAAAUAUUGCUACAAACAUAAGAGAGAUAUGAGACGACAAAAGAAAGAAGGUGAUAAUGAAUAUCAUAUUUUGGUUGUUGCUAAUGAUAAUCUUCUUGUUGCUUGUGGUGAGAAUUUCAUUAAUCUUGUUCGUGAUAAGUCUAGCUGGUUUGUGGAUUCUGGUGCCACUUCUCAUGUUAUGCCAAAGAAAGAAUUAUUUUCUUCUUAUACCCCAAGUAAUUUUGGGAUGUUAAAAAUGAUCAAUAAUGAUGAAGUUAAAGUACUUGGCAUUGGCACUGUUUGUUUGGAAAGUAACAAUUUUUCCAAACUAGUUCUCAACAAUGUCAAGCAUUCUCCAGAUGUUCACUUAAAUCUGAUUUUUGUAGGAAACCUUGAUGAUAAGGGUUAUGGUAACACCCUUGGUGCUGGCCAGUAGAAGAUUACUAGAGGUUCGAUGAUUGUGGCUCGAGGUGACAAGUUGUCUAACUUAUAAGUAUUUUAGGCCUCUACUUCUUGAGCCUUGACAAACUUAGUGGAGAAUGAUACUUCAUCAGAGUUAUGGCAUAAAAGGUUGAGUCAUAUGAUUGAGAAAGAGAUUGAUAGUUUGGCUAAGAAAAAUUUGCUUUCUGGAGUAAAAAAAGAAAGUUGAAGAAGUGUGUUCAUUGCUUAGCCGAUAAGCUAAAAAAGAUUUCUUUUCAGAGUCAUCCACCUUCAAAAAAGCUUGAUUUGCUGGAAUUGGUAGAUUCUGAUUUGUGUGGUGCUUUUAAAGUAAGGUAUUAUGGUGGUGCACUUUACUUUGUGACUUUUAUUGAUGAUUAUUCUCGCAAACUCUGGGUAUUUUCUUUGAAGUCCAAGGAUUAAGUAGUUGAUGUGUUUAAGGAUUUUUAGGUCUUGGUUGAGAGGCAGACAGGGAAGAAAUUGAAAUACAUCCGCUCAGAUAAUGGUGGUAACUAUAUUGAUCCUUUUGAUAGAUAUUGCAGAGAGCAAGGUUUCGAUAUACAAAAACUCCUCUGAAGAUUCCUCAGUUGAAUGAUUUAGCAGAGAGGAUGAACAAAACUUUAGUUGAGAGGGUUAGAUAUAUGCUUUCAGAUGCUAAGCUACUAGAUUCUUUUUGGGCAGAAACACUUAUUACAACUGCUUAUAUUAUCAAUUUAUCUCCUACUGUUGCUUUGGAUGGUGAUGUCCUUGACAGAGUUUGGUCUAGUAAGAAUGUUUCUUAUGAUCAUCUUAGAUUCUUUGGGUGUAAAGCCUUUGUGCAUGUUCCUAAGGAUGAAAGGUUAAAGUUGGAUGGUAAUACCCGUACUUUUUCUAGCUUGAAAUUUUUCCCCAAGAAUGUUAGAAGAUUUAUUUGAAAUAUGAAUCCACUUUUAUAUAUGUGGUUUUUUGAAUAUUUUCACUUUUUUUCAUGUGGGAAAUUCAAUAAGCUUUCCAUCAAUACUAAAUUUGCCCAAAUCUGACGCCAGGGCGAAGAGUUAGAGUGAGAUAGUGUAUCACUUGAGCCUUCAGCGCAUCGUGGAGAUAACUCAAAUGGUAAUUAUCAAUUUCCAAUGUUGCUCCGCGAUAGUGGUGCAUCUCACCAAAUUUCCAGGUCUCAAAUAAACUGGCAACGCGAUAGCUCCGCAGCGCGCCACCAUGCAGGUUCCCAAUUGUCCAGUUCCAUUGACUUGGCACGAUAGUGGCACGUCGAGCCAAGGAUAAAAAUCAAGAAAUUUUCUCAGAAAUUAAAUACGUGUCCUAGGGUUAAAAGGGUCAAUUUCCCACCCUAUAUAAGCCUUAUAACACGAGUUUUGGCGAUAAUUCAGCAGCUUAUACUCAAUUACUCUCAAAAAAUCUCAAGAACAAGACCUAGGGUUUUCAUAAAAAGUUCAAUUUCAAGGGAAUUCACCGUCAAAUUUCAAUAAUCUCUCCGCCAAUCUUCAUAGAAUCAUGAACUAAGGUAUGCGUAGUGUUCAUUCAUGGACUCCUUUCACCCAUGAAGCCCAAGAAUCUCUUUUUUAAGUUUACGUUUAUGGAUUUCUUUAUGAAUUUCAUGUUGGGUUUGUUUUUUUUUAUGUUGAGAAUGAUUAAUUGAAUUCAAAUCCAUGUUGGGUGAUAAAUUUAUGUGGAGUUGAUUUGUAUAAAUGUAUAUUCAUGUGAACCUAUGAAUAAACCCUAGAUGAUGAAAUUAGAGAUGAAUCAUGAUGAUUAAUUGUUGUAUAAUGUUGUCUACAUGUGCUAUGCCUACCAUGUGUUUGAUUAAAUGCCUAGAUGAAGGAACAAUGCCCAACUAGUAUGAUAUCAUGAACUCCCCAUGUAUGUACAAGCUUAUGUAUAUCACAUGUUUGAUGAUAUUCUUUAAUAUAUGAAUUAAGAAUUAUGUUGUUGGUCAUGUGUUCAAUUAACCCAUGCUAUGUCAGUUUCUUCUCAUCGAGUCCUGGGGGUACCUGUACCCGAACAUUUAGAUGUGUGCCUAGAGCUAUGUCAUGUUUUCAGAUACUCUCAGUCAAGCUAUGAUCUAUAGAACUCAGUCUGUCAUGUGACUCAAAAAAUCUCAGAAAUCUCAGUAAUCUUAGUAGUUUAGUAAUCUCAGUGAUCUCAGUACUCAGUAAUCUCAGUAAUCUCAGUAUUCCCAGUAAGUCUUAGUAACCUCAGUACUCUCAGUCAGUCCUCAGAUCUCACUAGCAUUUCAUCGGUUAAUGAAACUCAGUAAAUUUAGAUAAGCUCCACUAAACUAUACCAUUAGUAUCAGUUCAGUUAAUUAGUUUAGCACAAUUAAUCAAUUCAAUGUCUAUUUAGAUGGGAGUAGGAAUUAGCACCGAGUGAACCUAAGGAUGGGAACUCACCUGUUAUUUGAGGGUGCGAUUCUUAGAAUCAAUCCUUGCAUUCUAGAACUAUGUAACCAGCAUAGGUUGAGACAUCGUAGCCUACUAUAUGAGGGUAGAUGAGGUGGCUUAACCUGUUAUAUGAGGCUUCCCUCUGUUCUCAUUAGAGUUACUGUUAUAUGAAGGUUACUCACAUGUUGUCUUUACCAGUGGUGCGGUAUUGACACCUUCCAAUCAGGGCACAGAUUAAAGCCUAGCUCAGCUUUUAUAGCACAAUUAGGGCCUAACGAUUAGAUGACUACUUCCCAUAAUCUCAGUUAUAGUCUCAGUCUCAGUAAAAGAACUCAGAUAGUUCUUCAGAUUUAAGGACAUUCAAAUACAGCCAAUUCAGAUACAGUACAAAACUCAGAUGAUUCCAUUGGAUUUAGGAAUGUCAAAUACAUUCACUCAUGUUAUCAUUUAUAUCAGUUCUCAGAACUUAUGUUAUCAGUAUUCAGUUUUAAGACUGUUAGAUAUAGUCAACCAGACCAGUUCUUCAUAAUCAAAACUGUAAGACAUAGUUAUUCAUAUAUCAGUAACAUAGUAUCAGUCCCUCAGUAUUCAGUAAUAUAGUAUCAGCCUUUCUCACUCAUCAGUGAGGUAAACUCAGUAGUCAGAAUUCAGUAUUCAGUCCUAUCACGAUCUCAAUUACAGUUACGUAGUCAUGCAUGUAUUCUCACAUUCAAGUUAGCCAGUUAGUUAAUAUUGUUUAUGCAUAUGAACUAUUUGCAUUUAGCUUGUCUCACUUGCAUACCAGUACAUUCAAAGUACUGACGCAUUUGUGUUAUGGUGUCUUAUACCAUAGGUUUAGAAGCAUGAGCUCUAGAGAACCAGUAGCAUCCCAGUUCAGCGAUCAAAGUUAGUAGUGAGUCCUCAUCCUUCGAGGACAUGAUAAUCACAUUACUAUUAUAAUUUUCAGUUUAUUUUAGUAGUCGGAGUUAGUUGGGGACAUGUUCCAUCAACUCCUUAUUCAGACAGUUUUGAGGCUUUCAGACUAUGGCAUGUCAAAUAGUUAUUUCAUAUUUGAUUUGGUAUUGCUAUACCGCUUUCAGACAUUGUUUUAUCAAAUGUUUAUUUAGUUUUGAACCUUAUGGCCUUACAAAUUUUACAUAUUCCAUAUAAUUUUAGUAUUUUAUUCAGUGCUUAGUUACAGAUAUCAGUCAUGGGUUAGUUUGUGUUCCUUUGGGGUCAUAGGCACCGUGUAGCAUUCCGGUUUUCUAAAUUUGAGGCAUUACAAACUUGGUAUCAGAUCCUAAGGUUCAAUAGUAUCCUAGAAAUUCUGAAAGCCGUAUCUAGUAGAGCCUUGUACUUGCGUGUGUUGUGCACCACACUUAUAUGCAGGAGGCUAUGAGAUGUUUUAGAAAUGUUUCCCUUCUUUCAUAUCUCAGAUCGUGCUAUAGAAAGGUUCUUUAAGAAACUCUUUUAGAUUCUUAUGAUGCUUUACGCAUGUCAACUUUACCUUACUUUUAAGGUAACAGAAGCAGUGAAGCUCGAGUCCUAGAAAUAGGGCUUUCUCAGACCGACCAUAUAGUCAGUUAUGGGAUUGCCCAUAAGCUCAAAAGUAUCCCAUCAGUUCAGUUAUGUUCCAGAGUUGUACAACUCUUAUUCAUGAUCAUGAGAACUCAUAUUUCAUCAGAUCCCUUAUCCAAAUUCUAUAAUAGCAUAUGACCUAGAGUUAGAAGCAUGAACUCAGGAGUUUAGCAGUAGUAGAUUUGGGAUAAUAUGAUCCAGGUUGAAUAGAUUAUGUAUUUAUGGGGAUAGUUGUACCAAAGUAAAUUAGUAGGCUUGAACAGUACGAGCAAGAAUUUAAGUUUAUUGACAUGACAUUAGGAUUGAAAGUAUAGAUAUGAUAUUAGUAGUAUAUGAAGAAAUAGAACUAGAUGAUGUGUUUAGUAAGGCAAACAUGUGUCGAAUAGAGUGUUAGUAUAUGACUAUGAUUGCGGUUUAGUUUAGAGUUUAGUAAAGUGUUUAUAGACUUAUGAUAAUAGCUUAAAGCCAAGGGGGAGGUGAUAGAUCAAGUAACCCAUUUCAGUCUCCCAGAUUCCAGUGGUAGUGCCAGUAUGUAUAGAAAGCAGUAAGGGAAGAUGAUUCCCGACCCAUCCUUAUCUCAGUGCAGAGUUUUGCACUUCUGCUAUCACGAAAUCAACUCAGGCCUUGCAUGUUAACUCUAUGGUCACGAAUCAUGCUCAUGUAUUUUCCAUAAAUCAUGUACGGUUUUCAUUCCCAGUAUAAGGGGUCCCAUUUUAUCCCAUAGUAUGAAUUAGUUCCAUGAACACAACCUACUUUCACAUACUUUCCAUGUAUUGUGUGCGCUUUAAGUUCCCAGUAUAAGGAGUUUAGUUCUAGCUCCCUCAGUGUUAUGAAUCAUGUCUCACAAAUUUAGAAAUUUCAGACCCAGGUCAUAUAGCUCAUGACCCACAUACUCAUGUCAUGCUUUAUAGUAUGCUUAGUCCACAUGACUCAUGCUCCAAUUCUAGUGAGCAGCCAAACUCAGAUAUGUCAUGUAUAUCCUCAGUUCAAACCAUUUUGGUGAAUCCAUGUUAUUGAUAUUUGAUAACGCUCGAACUAUACCUCUCUUACGAGAGAGUAAGCGGUCGUUGUCAAAUAUAUAAUCCAACUAGGUUACGAUAGAAUCCCAUAGGGAAUAUGGUGCUAAUUAAGUUAUAUACAGAUUAGUUGACUUUUAAUCGUUUGUUUUCGUAAAAUAAAUAGGGGGAUUUGGUUCAGCUCACAAAUUAAUGGUUUCAGUUUAACAAGAUGAAAUAUGUGUAGUAGUAUUCAUAUUUAGAGAAAUAGCAAGCUAGGGUUAUGUCCACCUUGUAGUUUUCAAUACAUUCUAACUAUGGGCUUUACGAAUUCAUACAUGCAUCAUGUUUACAGAGAAGCGUAUUGUAUUUAACAACAUAACCCUAGUGUUUCUCAACUAUCAAGGACUAAUUCACUUUAGUUCUCUUGAAUCAAAAGCGUUUACCAAAAACAAUACGAAAUCUCCAAGUAGUUAAUCCUGCUAAGGCAUUAACUUAUAAAAUAGGGGUUGGUAAGCCUAUUUUCUUGUCACUACUCUUUUUUCUGAACAUCAACUUUUCUUUUGAAUAAGUUGAAUUUUAAGGCAUAGCCUCUAUGUUUGCAACCAUGAGAAUUCAAGAUAAGCGAAGAGAGUAAGAUGUAAACAAAUCAAUGCUUAAUGAAUUCAAAACCCAAAGUGAUACAUUGUAUGCUACAAGGCUUCCAUAACCCUAACUAAUAAACUUAGCUACACAUGAAUAAAAUGAAAAGCAUCAUAAAUAUAUUCAUCAUACCAAAAACUAGAAGAUAAUCUUGGUGUGCGAAUAGUGAAACAUCUCAUUGCAUUAUUAUUAUAUUUGUGUUACAAAAUUAUUGAAUUUAAAUUGUAUACUAAAUCAUUUAUAUAAUUUAUAUGUGUACAUAUUUUUGAAAAUCAAUCAGGACAAAAAAGGCAUUGGUAAAUUAAUUUAAUGAAAAAGAAAGCAUUCGGGCUAUUUCUAAUUCAAUCUCAAUUAUAUUAAUUCAAAUUCAAUUUAUUUAUCAAUUUUCAGACAAAAGAAACCCAUUAUAUUUGCCCAAAUUGUCCCAAACAUUGUCCAAUUCAACCAAUUCAACACCCAACUCAUCAAUUCUACCACACCCUCUCCACCAAUGAAAUGGUGACACACCAUCUCUAUAAAGAAACACAAUCUAUGUCAAAAUAAGCACACCUCAUCUCCAUCAUUGGCUUAAUUUAAUCUAAUGGUUUCAUAGUUUUUGGAUAAAAUAUAAUGUCUACAUUUAUAUUAAAUAUAUAUAUAUUUUUUAUAUCGUUUAAAGUACCUUUGAUUAAUCACAAUCGUCUUAUCAAAUGAUCAAACGGUCCAAAAAGGUCAAAGGGUUACAAAUCCCCAACACCCCAUGUUCCAAGACCAACAUUAAUCUUUUCCUUUCUCACUACCCAAUAUACCCUAGCAAUGUAGCGCCUCAAAAUUCAAGGUAAGAUUAGAAUCAUGCUUCAAGUGCAUGUAGAAUAAAACCUUUUGUUUUGAUAGUAUGAGAAGUGACUUAGACACGUAUUAAGUCCACAAGUAAAUCCUAGCUAAUAGCCAAGUCAAAAGCUUCCUUACCGAUUGAUUUCUGGAACAUCUUACUAUAGUCAAUUUCAAAUGAGCAUAAUUCUUAGGUUCUGAUAUAUUUUUAAAAUCAAGACUCAGCACAUGAUAGAUAUUUAAAUUAUCUUUCUAAUGCAUUCAAUUUUUUAUUAAUCUGAUAUCGGAGUCCAAGCCAAUAUCUGAAUGCCUUAAUCCAAAUCAAAGAAGAUUUUCUCUCCCUAAAAAUAUCUCUCUUCUCUCUAAAAAUUUUCUUUACUGUUUCUGCUAGAAUGGCUUCAUAUCAAUCGGUGGAGAUCUUUUGACCACCGAAAUAGUUACAAGAUGAGCGCAUCAAUGAUAUGAACCCACCUCAACAAGAAUCGAUCACUAAUUCUUCUCAUUGCUCUAAGAAAUUACAAAAGAUUAAAAUGGUCAUAAGGGAGAUUUUUUAUGAUAAAUGAGAUUUGAUGCAAAAUAUAAUUUCUCAUGAAGAUUCUAGAGGUAUUGAGAUGAUUAGGAGCCAUAUUAUGGAUUUUAAAUCUCAAAACCCCAUUGAAGUUAAUAAUUUUGAGCUUAAUACUAUGUCAAUUGAUGAAAUUGCGCAAAUUGAUUUGCAAAAUAUCACGGCAAAGCUAACAGAGGUGAGACUUCAAAAUCGACCUAUCUUUGAGCAAAUUCGUGAUGAUAUGGAUGAAGGUGAGGGUAGAGGAGUUCAAUUCACCCCCACAUUUAAUUUCUAAUUCAGGAAGACACUGGUAACAUUGCCGGAGAUCAUUUAAAUUCCAACAAAAAUAAUUUUAUUGGUGAAAUUGGUCAAACUCAAUGCCAAUUGAUAGAGGAGGAAGAAUCGAAUUCAACCAUGCCAAAUUCCCCAAAUCUUGAUGAUAAAAAUAUGUCUAAUUUGGAUUUUACGAUUUCGAACUCUAAUUUUUCAACAAAUAGGAAAAAUGAUAAUUCGAGGGAAUUAAUUCAAAAUUCCUAGAAGGGAUUGAUGCAUGAAGGUAUGGGGAAUGUAGAAAUAUUGAAAUCCCUAUCAAAAACCACUUCUAAUUCAUCUAAAUUUGAUGUAAAAGGUCCCUUCUCAACUGAUUUGCUCGACACUAUUGUUCUGGUGAAUAUUAAUCAUUCAACAUUUAAUUUCCACUGAAAAUGAUAAGGAAAAGGUGAAUGAUGAAAAAUCCCCAUCAAAUUGUACUCAAGGCAUGCCAAAUUUUGAAAAAUAAGGUUUCUGAUGAUAUUAUCACUGUUGCGGGUUCUGAAGACAAUAAUUCUAAUUCAAGUAAGUCAGAAGAUGUUGAGAAAACCUCUAAGGAAACCAAUUCUGGUGCAUCAAAAAAUUCUUUACCCUCUAAUGUUCAAAGUGAUGAUAAAAUAAUGAAAAAUAGAGAUAUAAAAACUGGUAAGUCUAUUGCUUGUGAGAGUAAGUUCUGUAAUUAGAAUAUGGAGCAAGGUAAAGAUGGUAGGGACAAGAAUAAAAAAAUGGUGAUGUUGCUGAAAAAUUUAUCCCUAAACCAUAUGUUCCUAAUAGUAAGAAGUCUAUCCCUGGUGAUCCUAAGGCUAAUGAGCUUAACGCAAAUGAAAUAAAAACAAUGUUGGGAUCAUAAUCGAGUUACCAAUGCUCAAGCACAACAAAAGUCUAAAAAUGCAAAAAUUCCUACUCCUCCUACUGCGUGGGUUUCACAUGCAGUGUCCACAAAAUUAAGGGCUCAAGAAGCUUUGAAGAUAUCUAUAGUUGAGAUCACUUUGGAAAAAAUCACUACCAAGUAAGGACUUCCCACUAUUGUAUUCAAACCUGAUCAUUACAAGGUGAAAUAAGUUGCGAGAUGUAAGUAUACUUUGAUAGGUAAGUUUACCAAUACUAUGUCAAAAAUAGAGAUUAUAAAAAAAUAAUUUAUUCAGCAAACUAAACUUAGAGGUGGUGUUAAGGUGUCUCAUUUUAAUUCUAAGCAUAUGUAUAUUGAUUUGGAGAAUAAAUAUGAUCAUACUACUAUUUGGACUAAAAAAGAUGUCUAUUCUCCAAUUAUGCGCACCUACUUUUAAGUCAAUUUUUGAAACACCUCAUGUACCUAUUUGGGCUACUUUACCUGAGUUACCAUGGCACUGUUACUGUAUCGAAGUGAUUGCUCCUGUAUGAAAGGCUUUAUUUCUUGAUUUAGCUACUUAUAAGAAGACAAGAAGAAGUGUAGAAAAUGUGAAAAUUCAAGUAGAUCUUAGUAAAGCUAGACCUGAUCAUGUAUGGUUGGGUUUUGAUGAAGAUGAGAAUGGUCAAGGUAUGUGACAGCCUGUAUAGUAUGAAAAAGUUUUGAAUUAUUGUACCUACUGUAAGCAUCAAGGAUAUGGGAUCACGACAUGUAGCAUUAAGAGAAAAAAAUAAUGAGAUAAAAAAAUUGAAAUAGAAGAAGCUGAGAAGAAUACUCAUCUCUAAAAGCAACAGAAUAUUAAUCACAAUAGUGAGCUCAAUAAUGAAUUUACAAAAGCAUCUCUGGCAAGACCAAAAAAACAGGAACAAUGACAGAAAUAUAGGAAACACAGGAACAAGGCCAAUGGCAAGUGUAAAGAAGAAGAGGUAAAAUAAAUAAUUAUCAAAAACAACAACACAAUUAGCAUAACUAGAAUCAGAGAGAGCAGGUACCUUAGCAAUAGUCUUAUAGGUCUACAUCUCUACAGAAAAAUAAUGCAACAACUUUAAAAAAUUAGCAGUAGUUGUUCUGACCAUAUCUCAACUCCUUUGUUAUUGUAUUUAUAGAUGAUAUCUUGGUUUAUUCCAAGAGUGAGGCUAAGCAUGAGAAUCAUUUGCAAACUGUGCUUCAGAGAUUGAGGGAUGAGAAGUUGUAUGCCAAGUUCUCCAAGUGUGAGUUUUUGUUAGAGUCUAUUUCUUUCUUGGGUCAUGUGAUGACCAAGAAGGGUAUUAUGGUUUAUCCAUCCAAGGUUGCAAAAACUCGUGAUUGUGCUAGACCUACUUUGCCCAUCGAGAUUCAGAGUUUUGGUGGCUUGAUGGGUUAUUAUUAAUGUUUUAUUAAGGGUUUCUUAUCCAUUGAAGCUCCGUUGACCAAGUUGACCCAGAAGAAGAUUUCUUUCCAGUGGUCUAAUACAUGUAUAGAGAGCUUUCAAAAGCUCAAGGAUUUGUUGACUUCAGCUCUUAUCUUUGCUGUGUCUAAGAAAGGAAUUGGUUUUACUAUCUUUUGUAAUGCUUCAAGUGUUGGUUUGUGUGUUGUGUUGAUGCAGGAGGGUAAGGUGAUUGCCUAUGCUUCUCAUCAGUUGAAGCCAUAUGAGAGGAAUUAUCCUACCCAAAUUUAGAGUUUUACGCGGUUGUGUUUGUUUUGAAAUUAUGUAGGAACUACUUGUAUAGAGUCCAUUGUAAGAUUUUCUCGGAUCAUCGUAGUCUUUAUUAAUUUUUCACCCAUUGAGAUAUUAAUAUGAGGCAGCUUCGCUGGCUUGAUUUGCUCAAGGAUUAUGAUUUGACUAUUCUCUAUCAUCCAGACAAGGAUAAUAUGGUUGCUGAUUCCUUGAGCCGAAAGUCGACUAGCAUGGGUAACUUGGCAUAUUUUUUGAACUAGGAGAGGCCUUUGGUAUUAGAGGUCCAGCUUUUAGAUAAUCAGAUGGUUAGGUUUAAUAUAUUGACACCUGGGUGUGUUUUAGCAUUUGUAGAGGCUGGGUCUUCUUUAAUAGAAUAGAUUUGAGCUAAUCAAUUUGAUGAUGUGAGAUUGAGAUCGAUUUGAGAUAAAGUUUUGAGUAGUGAGGCUAAGUAAGCCUCACUUAAUUCAGAUCAUGUUUUGAGGAUUAAGGGUCGAGUUUGUGUGUUGAGAGUAUCUCAUUAGAUUAGAUUGAUUUUUGAAGAGGCUCAUUAUUCCAGGUAUUCUAUCCAUUUUGGAGUGACUAAGAUGUAUCAUCAUUUAAGGAGCAUUACUGGUGGGGUGGUAUGAGAGAGGAUGUAGAAGAUUUUAUAGCCCGUUGCCUUUGUUGUCAGUAAGUGAAGGCGGAGCAUUUGAGGUCUGAUAGAUUGCUUCAGUGGUUACCCAUUCCCUAGUGGCAGUGGUAAUGAAUUACUAUGGAUUUUAUGACUGGGUUGCCUCAUACUUUCUAGGAAUCUGAUAGUGUCUAGGUCAUCGUAGAUCAAUUGACCAAGUCUACUCAUUUCCUUCUGGUGUAUCUCUCCUUUAGUGUUGAGAGGCUAGCCCGUAUCUAUAUUCAUGAGAUUAUAUGACUUCAUGGUAUGCCGGUUUCUAUUAUAUAAGAUUGAGUCUCGGAGUUUACUUCUUACUUUUAGAAACCUUUUUAGGAUGAGUUGGGUACUUGGGUUGAUCUUAACAAAAUAUUUCACCUCCAGAAUGAUGGUCAGUCAGAGUAGACUAUCCAAGUUUUAAAGGAUAUGCUCUGCGGGUAUAUGAUGGAUUUUGGAGGCCAGUGGAAGUAAAAUUUAUCUUAAGCAGAGUUUACGUAUAAUAAUUUCUACCAUUCCAGUAUCGACAUGGAUCAUUUUAAGGCAUUGUAUGGUAGGCAUUUUCUCUCGUUAGUGGUUUGGUUUAAUAUUUUUAAGGUUAGAACUCUAGGUAUAAACUUGCUCUAUGAGUCCUUGGAUAGAGUUUGGGUAUUCAGGAUAGACUCCGAGCAACUCAGAGUAGGCAAAAGUGCUAUGCUGAUAGUAUAAUUCGUGCCUUGAGAUUUGGUGUGGAUUAUUGUGUUUUCCUUGGAGUUUCACUCAUGAAGGGUUUGAUGAGGUUUAGGAAGAGAAAAAAGAUUAGACCCAAGUAUAUUAGUUUAUUUGAGAUUCUUCGAACUGUUGGUGAUGCGGCUUAUGAGUUACCCCUGACCCUAGAUUUAUCGGUUGUUUAUCCAGUUUUUCAUGUUUCUAUGCUUCAUUAUUAUAUUCCUGAUGAGUCUCAUCUCAUUUAUUGGGAGUCAAUUCAGUUAGAUGAGCGGUUGUCUUUCGUUGAGGAAUCAGCCUCCAUUUUGGCUAGGGAUGUUAGACAGUUCUGUUCUACAGUUAUCCCUGUGGUUAAAGUUCAGUGCUGACUUCGACCUACAUAUGAGGCUACUUAAGAAAUUAAGUUUGAUUUGCAUAGUUUGUAUCCCCAACUUUUCUUUGAUUCAGGUAUUUCUUUGCCUUAGUUCAAGGACAAACUAGAUUUUUAGUGGUGGAUGAUGUAACGACUUAAAAAUUUGAUGAAAUAUGAAAAAUAUUUAUUUUUAUGAUUUGACUAUUUUACCCCCCCUCCCUCCAUAGUUGCAUUAUGGUAUUUUUGGAGUAUGGGGUGAUUGGUAUAAUUCCCGAUGUAUUUUGGUGCCAUUGAUGUGAUAUUGUGGUUUUGAUGGCUUUGAGAGCCUUAUUAUGGACUUAUUUGGUUAUCUUUUUGUCUGUGUGACGGAUGGCUGAACUACGACAGCAGAUCCAGAAUGUUGAUUUUUGUAUGGUAAUAUGUUUGGUCUGGUUUUUCAGCUUUUAAAUCUCAUUUGGAAGGGGUAUAAAAAGACCCCUUAGAUCAUGAUUUAGGACAUUUUCCAUUUUUCCUCUUGAGAUUUAAACCCUAAACUAGUGUGAGAUCUUAAAAGUGAAGCAUGUGGGUGCUUGGGAAGCUAGAGUAACAUCCAUUUCUCAAUUCACUUACGGAUUUAUGGUGAGAAUUCACUCUUUUCUUAGUUUAAAUUUCUUGAUUAAUUAUUCGAACUCCCAAAACGUUAGGGCUUGAUUUUAAACCCUAAUUUGACUCCUUUUUACUUGAAUAAUGUCCCUAAUCCUAUAAUUACUUAUUUUUCCUCGAUUUCAUCUUCAAACAACGUAGAUUCUUGAUUUUAAAACGGACUUCAAAGGUUUCACCCUUUAAAGUUUAAAAAUGAUUUUUCUUCGAUUUGGACCUUGUUUUUAACUCGAUUUGACUUAGUUUUACAACUGUAGAUUUCUUAAAGUGUGAAAAACACAUUUUUAAAAUAAAGUUAUGAUUUUGUCUUUUUUUUUUGAAACCCAUUGCGGGAGUCCAUUUUGUUUUGGCACAUACAUUCUAAUUUUCUUGGUUUUAGUUAAUUUUGGGAUCAUUCAUGAGAAGUAAGGUCGCGGUGUGAAAUAUUAUGGAUCAAUUUCGGCAUUGAGGCAGGUUAUGACUUAACUCUUUCAGAAUCGGUUGAGUAGCAAAUGUUGGUAAAAAAUGCAUGUUAAGAGGAUGGGAACUAAUCAUGAAAUUGGCUGUCUUAUUGUGUUGUGCUCGUGUGGGGGCCUAUAUGUGAUUUGAUCAUUAGUUUUGAGAUAUUAUGUGAUAUGUGUGACCAUGUGAGGUCCUAUGUGAUAUUGAUAGCUUGAAAUACAUGUGAAUAAUUGUAUUGGGUUGUUGGAAUACGUAUUGUGGUACCAUUGGUGUAUUGUGUAUUAUUCAUACUUUAUUGGCAUAUGAAUCAUGUGGGAAUUUAUGAAUGAUUAGAAAUAACAAGUAGAUAAUUGGCUCACGUAAUUGGUAUAUUAGUUGGUUGUGGAAAUGUGCAUUUCGAUUGGUUGUGAACAUUGCAUCAUCAUCUUCAUGGUAUCACACACAUAAUUUCACUUGUCUGUUGUAUGCUUUAUAUAUUUGCUUCUUGUUGUUGUAUGUGUACUUGAUUUAGGUCUUAUGUUAUGUACGUUCUCUUGGAAACACUAGAAAUACUAAAAAUACUAGAGACCUAAAGCACUGGAAACAACAGAUUUUGUAGACCUUCUCAGAUAGAGGUGCUGGACAUGAGUCAUAGAAAUUGACAUCGAAUAUUGGAUCUUAUAGACCUUCUUCAAAGGUUAUGCCAUAGAAAAGUCAUGGAUAUUGGUUGUAUACGGACUGGUGAAUCCUCUAUGGGUCCUAGAUCGAGAGGCUUAUCUUCAUAGAUGUAUAUGGGGUAGUAUACGGGUCAACAAACCCACCAUGGAUCCCACGUCGAGAGGCUUUCCUUCAUGGGUGUAUACGAAGAUUGUGUGACAACCUCGUGCAUCAUCAUCUUCAUCACCUUCUUAUACAAUUCACUUGCUUUAUUGUGUUUAUGCUGUGAUUGAAAUUGCCAUAUUGACUUGUUAUGCCUUUAUUUGUUCUAUCUUCCAUCAAUGUACUUGACUAUCUUGUAUAUACCUGUUCUUCCUUGUUUCUAAGUGUAUAUGAUAUAAUGUAUACUUGUGUUCUACCUGGUUUAUAUAUCUUAUUUUCUACUUUGCUUUGUCGGCCUAUGAUACCUACUGAGUACAAGUGGACCAUACUCACUCCUACUGUAUCCUUCUGGUGCAGAUUCAGUUUCGGGUGCGCCUCACAUUGCUUGAUUUGGAUGAUUGUUGAAGAUUUUAAGGUAGUGGAUGAUUUCAGGCGUCCGGAUGUCUUCUACUAUCUUCUCUAUCAUUAGACUAUAUCUUCAUUAGUUUUCAGAGACAGAGUUGUAUCUAUUGGAUUUCUUAUGUACUUCACUUGGAUUCGAGUUAUACUUGAUACAUUUUUAUACUGUUGACACCAGGUUUUGGGAGUUAUGGUUGCAUCGUCGAUUAUAUGCUUUCCACAUUUGUUAUACUUAUAUGGUCCGGCUUCGUUCUAAAGGCCUUACCUUGGGGGUAUUUUUAUUUUUUUCCCUUUCUGUGUCAGUUUGGGUGAUAGGCUUACUUGUCAAGGUUUACCGCGACGAGUGCCAUCAUGACCCUUGAUUUUGGGUCGUGACAUUUGGGGUCUUAUGGCUUGACCCCAUCUCUGUCAAAAUCAGAGAAGCGAAUAAUAAUCGUAUACAUAUUUCCACAAUCUAGUGCCUCUUUUCCUCUAUUCAAGCAUUAUUCUUCUUUUGUAGACAUUAUUAUUAUUUUUUUAUUCACACAUUAUUAUUUGAAAUUUAUAUUUUGUAUGUUCUUGUUUGAAUUAAUCUUUAAAUAUUAUGGCAAAUUUUUUUUUCUUAAAUUCUAAAUUUAGCAUAUCUCUAGACUCAAGUAUUUAAUUUAUAUCGUUUAAAGGUUAAAAUUUGGUUGGUUAAAACAUAUCUUCUAAUAUAAAUGGCCAAGUUUAUUAUAAUUUUGUAAUGCUUCUUUAAUAUGAAAUAGUAACCUAUCUUUCAAAUCAAAAUUAGCUUUCACUAAUUAGUAAUGUCGGUGUAACCAACAUAUAAGUUUUGCGGUGGACGGGCUUAUUAUUGUUAGACUUGAAAUCUGGCUUUAACUACUUUGGAAAUGAAAAAUUAAUCCGCUUUCAUCAAUUUUAAAUAAGAAAUUAUGACUUCGCCAAUUUGAUUUCGCAAGGCCUUCUUCAGGAUUUCAAAGUAAAAAAAAUACAUUUUUUAAACAUGAGCCAUUUCUUAAUAGAAAUAAAUAAAUUCUCAAGUUAUUGUAGAUUUAAAUAACUAUGUUUUGAUAGCUAUUCAUUUAGUGUAGGGCAAUUAACCUAUUUUUAUAAAAUUUUAAAAAGGGAAAAAAGAGUUAUUUGUUAAGAAUAAAGGAAAGCGUAAAGUUCUUAACAUAACUAACUUUUUUAUUGUUAAUUGAAAGCUUUUGUAUAUCUUUUAAAAGAAAUGAUUUUUAAAUAAACUUUCUUUCUGACAAGAUAAGAUUGCAUCAUUGUUAAGAGGUUUUAUAAAAAAUCUUCAAUAAUUUUUUAAAAGUAGAUAUAUGGCGAGGAUGUUCUAAAAUUUUUUCUAAUCUUUUUCUUAUAAAUUACUAGCAUAUUUUAUAUUUAGUAAGAUAUAAAUAUUCUUUAUACCUAGCUUAUAUCUUAAAAAACUUUCCCUAAUUUAACAUUUGAUUUUCUUAUUAACCUAAGUUUGGCCGGUUAACCGUCGUUGGCGGGUCCUUUAGGGUGCCUAAUCUCUUCUCUUUAUGAUAAUUAGAGCCCUUACCUAGAAUUUUUUAAGUUAAGUAAACCUUAAAAUAAAAUUUUUAUUUUAUUUUAAUCACAUAGUUUAUAAUAGGUGUCCUAAUUCACCGUAGAACUAAUUACAUGGAAAAUUCUUUAAUUUAAUUAUGAUUUUUCUAACAUGUUAUACCUUGAUUUGACCCAUGUUAAAAUGGGGUAUAACAGAAGGGCAACUGGCCAAAUGAGAUUCCAGUAGAUUUUUGGAAGAGCAUUAGCGAGGCAAGUUUGGAGUGAUUGACAAUGUUGAUUAGCAUCAUUUUUAGAAAUGUGAAGAUGUCUGAAGUUUGGAGAUAGAGUGUUAUGAUUCCAUUAUAUAAGAACAAGAGAGAUAUACAGAAUUGCAACAACUAUAGGGGUACCAAGUGUUUGAGUCAUACUAUAAAGGUUUGGAAAAGGGUAAUGGAGUUGAGGCUGAGGAGGAUCAAGACAAACUUUGAGAAUCAGUUCAAUUUUGUGUUAGGUCAUUCAAUAAUCGAGGACAUUCACUAUGUGAGGAGACUGAUGAAGCAGUAUAGGAAGAGAAAGAAGGACUUACACAUGGUGUUCAUUGAUCUUGAGAAGGCAUAUAAGAAAGUAGCUAAAAAGGUUCUAUGGAGGUGCUUUGAGGAUAGAUGUGUGCUCGAUACACUAGGUCGAUUCAUGACAUGUAUGAUGGAACAAAGACGCGUGUAAAGAUAGUAGGAGGAGAUUUGGAGCACUUUUCUAUUUUGGCAUAGUUUCACCAGAGGUGGACGCUUAGUCCAUUUUCAUUUGCCUUGGUAAUGAAUGUUUUGACAUAGUGCAUUAAAGGGGAGGUACCUUGGUUUAUGUUAUUUUUUAAUGAUGUAGUUCUAAUUGGCGAGACUCGGGGAGGAGCUAAUGAUAAGUGACAAACCUUUGAGUCUAAUGGGUUUAGGAUAAGUAGGACCAAGAUGGAGAACUUGGAAUGUAAGUUCAGUUAUUUAAUGCAUGAGGCAGACGUGGUAGUGAAGCUAGAUUCUCAGGCUCUCCAGGAGAGAUAUUAUUUCAAGUAUCUUGGGUCUAUGAUUCAAGGGAAUGGUUAGAUUUACAAGGAUUUCAUGCACCAUAUUAGUUCAGGUGGCUGAAAUGGAGGCUCUCUUCGAGAGUCUUGUGUGAUAAGAAGGUUCCUCCUAAGCUUAAAGGUAAGUUCUACAGAGUGGCAGUCCGCUUGACUUUGUUGUAUGGAGUGGAGUAUUGGCUGGUUAAGAAUUCUUAUAUCCAAAAGUUGAAGGUGGCAAAGAUAAGGAUAUUGCGAUAGAUCUGUGGACUUACUAAGAGAGAGAUUUAGAAAUAAGAUUAUUAAAGAGAAAUAGAGAGUGGCUUUGGUGGAAGACAAGAUGCGGGAAGUGAGGUUGAUAUGGUUUGACAUGUUAUGAGGAGGUUCUUGGAUACCCAAGUACAAAGGUGUGAGAGGCUGACUAUGGAUGGUUUCAUGAGGGGUAGAUGUAGGCCGAAAAAAUACUAAAGAGAGGUCACUACAUGAAAUAGUUAUAGUUUAUGGAUGACAUAACCCUUUAUAAAAAAGUAUGAUGGAUGUAGAUUAGGGUAGAGGGUUAGUAAGUAGGAGUGUGUCCUUAAUAGGGAGGAGUUCUUUGUAUUAUUACACCUGUAGUAAUAAUGUUAUGCAUGUGUCUUGUAGUUUCUUGUUUGUACCGUUUUGGUGUUGUUGGUGAAUUUCAAAUAGAUAGUUUAUAAUACUAAUCUAUGAGUGUCUUUUUUAUUGUAUCAUUCUAUUAUGUAUUUUUAUGUUUUUUGUUUGUUAUAUUGGUGCUUGUCCUGAGCCGAGGGUCUAUUGGAAACAACCUCUCUACUUCAUCUGAGAUAGUGGUGUGGACUGCAUACACUUUAUCCUCCUCAGACCCCACUUUGUGGGAUUACACUUAGUAUGUUGUUGUUGUUGUAUUUUUCUUUAUCCCACAAUAGAGGUUUAUUGUGUUGAUCGAUAGAAUUACCCGACUUAAGCUUUAACCUAUGGAUAAAUGCCAAUGACAUUGACCUGAAAAGAAGUGUUCCAACGCUAUCAAACGUAUAGGAAUUUUUAUAAGACAAGAUGAUGCAGACAAAGAUGAACAUAUUUCUCACUUUGAGCAAUAAUUUGAGAUAUUAAUAGGAAAACUACAUCAAUAUAGAGAUCCAACACAUCUAUCGAUGACUGCUCUGCUACGCCUUUUCCUUUUUCCAUCACCAAGAAUUCUGAUGCCCAAAAAUUAAACAUCAAUGUGACCUCCCACUAAUAUUAUAGACUUAAUGAAUUCAUCAUCCCCAUUCACACCCUUUAACCAAUGAAAUCUUCUUCACUGCACCCCAUAUCACAAUAUCAUUGCCUAUUCUCUUCAUUUAAUAGACAAAUGAUGGAACCUAUUAAGAACGCCAUGUUCCCCCAAUAUAUGUAACUGAGACACCUGCUUUCACCACACCUACUAAAGGUAGGUUUUUGGCGAAUACAAGGAAAGGAGAGGAAGAUGAUUCAGGAAACAUAACAUGAACAAUCUUUAAAAUUUAAAAUAGAUGCCAAAACAUCACUAGGAAAUUCAAGGCAGCAAUCGCUUUGUAACAACCCAAUUUUCUGGAACUGGAAUUUCACACGGUGCUCAUGAUCCCGAAGGACCAUAAGCUAACCCUGUACUGAUAUUGUACCUGAAUACUGCAUAAUAUAGAUAAUAAAUACGGAAACUAGCCAUAAGGUUCAAAACAUCUAAAAAUACUCAAAAUUGAAAACUGAAUAAUGAUACAUCUGUCCGAAAAGCCUCUAAACUAUUUGAACUAUGGAGUUGAUGGGACAUGUCCCUAACUAACUUCCUCUACUGAAAAUAAACUAAGUCUGAUAUGAUAAUAAUAAAAAUAAGGAUCAUCCUCGACUGAAGAGGACUCACUGCUAUGUCUACUGCUGUUGACUGGGAUUGAGCUACUAAGCGUACUCUGGAUCUCGUGCUUCCGAACCUAUGGUGUUAAAUGAAACACUAUAGCACAAAUACAUUAGUACGGGAAUGUACCGAGUAUAAAGAUGAGGUAAGGCUAAAUGCAAGGGCCCAUGCAUGAAUAAUUACUUAACUGAAUAAUCAUGAGAGUACUGAAUGAGAACACAUGCAUGAAUGCACGAACCAUAACUGAAAUAAUCGUGACUCAAAAUACUGAAACUCGAAUACUACUUUACUUUUAUCUAAACUCACUACUAAUGCCUGAGAUACUGAAUACUGAAUCAUCUAAUACUGAUAACUGAGUACUGGAGUUAAGAUCAGUCUUAUCUAGCGAGUGAUCUCAAAAAUUAAUGAUACUGAAACUAAUUAACUGAAUCUACUUAUAUCAAUGACUGAAUUCUGAGCUUUAUACUACCUAUUGACUGCAUCAGAGACUCUCUAAUGGAUAAUUUUGGAAUCUACUAUCAAUGAUAAGAAUAGAUUAUAUCUGAGAUCAAACCUAUCUAGCGAAAGAUCUCUGAAUCUAAUAAUAAGAAUACUCAACUGAAUUUGAGACUGAGAUCAAGCCUAUCUAGCGGGUGAUAUUUGAAUCUGACAAUGAGAUUAUUCAACUGAAUCUGAGACUAAGAUCAAGCUGAUCUAGCGGAUGAUCUCUGUAUCUGAUAAUGAGAUUACUCAACUGAAUCUGAGACUGAGAUCAAGCCUAUCUAGCGGGUGAUCUCUGGAUCUGAUAAUAAGAUUACUCAACUAAAUCUGAGAUUGAGAUCAAUCCUAUCUAACACGUGAUCUCUGGAUCUAAUAAUGAGAUUACUCAAUAGCUUUAUGUGGGACCAUGCCUAUCUAGCGGGUGUUCGAUGAGUCAAUGGAACUAUUUGAGUUCCUCACUAAGAUAUAGAUGAUUGUAUCUAACAGUCUUAAUUUAUGAGUUCUUUUCUGAAGACUGAUACUGAAAUUGUAACUAUGGGAGUGCUCACUUAACCGACAUGCACUGAAUCUGAACCAGUGGGGUACAACCUAUAAACCCAGCUAGAAGGGUGUCAAUACCGUGCCACGGGUAAAGACCUUUCUGGUCAAGCCUCUCUAACGGGUGAUCCUCGCAGGAAGUCAAGCCUAAGGCAGUAUAAUAGUCAAGCCUAUCUAGUGGGUGACAAGCCUUUUCUAAUGGGUGACUCUUGCAUCCUGUGCUGGCUACACAGUUUUGGAGUUUAGGGAUUACUCCUAACGACUCUGCCUCUCUAACGGGGAGCUACCAUCCCUGCACUUUCUCGGUGCUAGCUCCUAAUCCCAACUGAAAGACUCUGAACUAAUUCUUAACUUAACUUGAACUAAAUCUGAUACUGAUUAUAUUUCUCGAAUGAUCUGACUGAGUUACGCUAAAUUCACUUGGUUUUGUAUCUGAUAGAAUACUACUAAAUCUAAUUAUCUGACUGCAUGAUACUGAGUUCCAAACUGAACACUUGAAUACUACUAGGUUUGAGCUGAGUACUAAACUGAGGCUAGAAUACUAGCGAUACUGAGAUUAUUGAGAUUUUUGAGAUUUCUUAAGUUCUGUAUCUGUUUGAGAGUACAGAGUUCUAUAACUCACUCUGUUCUGAGAGUCGUGGCUUAACCGAGAUUAUCGAGGAAACUGACUAGACUGCAGCUAAUUUGCCAGGUAUAAAUACCCUCAAGACUCGAUAACAUAAAAGUAAAACAUAACCAUUCUUGAAUAAUCAAGACCAUGGAAUUUAUUCACCAUCACAAUCAGUGAAGCAUCUCUUAAAGUAUUUAGAAAUCAUAAACAUGUAAUAGUAUAGGGAGACAUGCUAUUGUAUCAUACUCCAUUCAACAAGGUCUUACAUCAAACACUCAGCAUGUAUUAAAGUCUUAGCAUGUAUCGAAGAGCACAUAAUUGGGGAAUUUCAUGCUAUCAUGUCACAAUUCUUUCACUAAGGUUUUUCAACAAACACUUGGCAUGCAUGGGCUUCCACACAAUUGGGGAUUUCUAGUCAACAUGCUAUAAUGGCUCUAAUUUCUUCAUAUAAGUAUUUUAUCAAACAUUUGGGGAGCAUUCUUUGCUUAUUCAACAAUUUCUACACUUAAUUGACAAUAACACAUCACUUAACAAGUAACUUGAAGAGGGUUUAUUAUGAACAUCACAUGAAUAUCAUAUACUAGGGUCAAAGCUUGAAACAUCAUCAACAAAACAUGAAUUAAAACUCAAUAAUAGCAUGAACUCCAAUUUCAAUUCAUAUGAAUCAUGAAAACUCAUAAACAUGAGAUCUUUGAAAUUUAAAAAAAGGUUUUUGAACUUCUUGGAUGAAAGGGACCCAAGAAUCAACAUCUGCAUACCUUAGUUUCUUGAAUCUUGAAAAGUUAACAGAGGAAUCUUAAUGAUAGGGGUCUUGAUUUAGGAAACCUAGCUCUUGUUCUUGAACAACUUUUAGAGAAAACUAGUGUUUUUGAGUUAAAUGAGGCCAAAAUCCCGUGUUAAGGAGUAUAUUUAGGGGUAGUAAAAUAACUAUUUUCGCCCUUGGAAUUAAACUGAAAAAUCCUAAUUUUACAUGCUGGCGUGAUGCGCCAUAAUCAUGCCAGCUUACUGGAAAUUAGACAAUUAGGAAACUGCUUGAUGGCGCUACGCGGUGGAAAUUGCGUUGCCACCUUGGUUGUGAACUGGAAAGGCAUCGCGACAUGGUGAAUUCAUGUUGGUGCAUUGGAAAUUGACAACUCUAAAAUUAAGCCUUGGCGUGAUGUGCCAUAAUCAUAGAGGCUCACUGGAUUUUGACGAUUGUCAUUUUGGCUGGAUCCGCAACGCACUAAAGUGCCAGGUGGCACACUGUCUUUCUAAAAUGGCUCUAACUGUUUGUCCGAGUGUCAGAUUUGGGCAAAUUUGGUAUCGACGGAAAUCUUAUUCAAUUCUUCACAUGAUAAAAAGUCAAUAUUAUGGAAAUUCUACAUGGUUUAAAAUACUUCUCACUUGGGAAGACACUUCUCGACCUUUUAGGGCUGGAUUAAUAGUUUACUGAACACGCUCUAAGGCUUAGACUAUGAGAGAAUCUUGUGGGAUUUUACAUGCUUGAACUAUGAAGGUCUAUCCAUCCAUCAAGCAACCUAAUUUUAAAUUUUUUGAUGGAAUUGGUGAACCCCAUAAUCAUCUGAGAGCUUAUUAUGAUAAAUUAGUAGGGAUUGGCAAAAAUGAAAUGAUCACAAUGAAGUUGUUCAAUAGAAGUAUGUCAGGUGAUGCUCUCUUUUGGUACAUCAAAUAAUACCCUUGUCAUUUAUGUAAAUUGAGAAACAUGACAUAAGACAUUAUGGAUCGUUUCAAGUACAACACAGAAAUUGCACUUGAUCGAUAUUCCCUCAUUAGUGUCAAAAGAAGCCACCCAAGUCAUUCUAGGGAUAUGCUCGAUGAUAGAGGUAUAAGGCAGGAAAAGUCCAACCACCAAUGGAUAAAAAUGAAUUGAUGAAGUAUGUUAUCUGUAGUCAGGAAGGGGUAUACUUCCGAAGGAUAAUGUCCAUGUUGGGACAAAAGUUUUUUGAUUACAUCAAAAUAGAGAAAUAUAUAAAAGAAGAAAUUAAGUUCAAAAAGAUUAAGUUGACAAAUAACUAGAGAAAAUCUACUGAGUCAUAGUCCACCGGAGGGGUUACAAAAGAGAAAUAAGAAGAAAUAUAUUUUGUGAUAUCGCACUACAUAAUAUCUGAAUCUCUCCGAUCACUUCAAAAUCCUAGAUAACAUGCAAAAUCAAAAUCACAACCAUGUCAUGCCUACAAUAUCCUACAAAAUUACCAUUAACUCUAACCUCCCAUAUACAAAAAUCAACCAAGACUAUGUGUACCAAUCUAAGUACCACUACACCCAAAUCAAACACCAUUAGUGCGAAGACAAUGUCUAAAAGACAAGCAUGAUCGAAGCCACACAUAAUCUUUUGAGCCAUUAGCAUAAUUUCUUGAGAGAUUAAAAGGCCACAUAUUUGUUGUAACCCAAGUCGGUAAGUUCAAGGGAAUGAUAUUAAAGAUUGUAUUAGAUUAAAGCAGCGAAUCGAGAAUUUGAUCAAGAAAAGGGGAAUUCAAUGUGUUGUGGUGCAACCAAAUCCAAAACAAUAAUUUAUUUCCCAGUCAUAAAAAUAUAGGAGUGAAUAUGACAUAAUAGAGAUCAUAAUUUGUGCCAAGCCAACAAAUCCUCUUUUAUGAGGCACUCUAUGGAGAAGAGCUAAUUUUAAGAAAAAUAGACAGAUGAAUUCUAAAUUGAUCAACUCAAAUGCAGUCAGUAGAGUCCUACAUUUGAUGUCAUUUCCAAAAUAGAAUUCCCCUCUAAUUAUCAUGUAACAAAACUACUUUCCGACCUGAUUUCUCAUGAUGAGAUACAUAGGAAACCCUCAUCAGGUUUGGUUGCAUUUAACUAGAUUUAUUUCCCUUUUUGUAAUUAGAACUCGUGCGACCAGAUUUUCCUCGUCGGGAUAUGUAGGUAGCCAACAUAAGGCUCAAUAUCUUUAUAAUAACAUAUCUUCCUAUAGCGGAAAAGGGAAAUUGGAUCCUAAUAGUGAGAUUCAAAGGACCCGAUAUGUUUCAUCAAAGUAUCCAAUGAUAUGUGAUAAUGAAUUAUCAUGAAAGUCUCUCGGUAAGAUUGGGGUGUAAUAUCCCGUGAUUUUCCUAGCUUAAACUCAUCCCAAAAAAUGUUAAAGAUUAUCUCUUAGAAUGAACGAUGUUUAUUUUGUGUGGAAUUCUUUAGAUUUGAACUUUCCAUGGUGUAGGAAAUUGAAUAAGCUUUCCAAUGAUAUAAUAUUUGCCUAAAUCCGAUAACUAGGUAAGAAGUUAUGGCUAUUUUAAGUUCCAGUCGUAAAACACUGUCAUUUGGACUCUUAGCGCUUCGCGGAGAAAAAAUCCCAAUUGUCAUUUUUUAGUGGCCCUCCGCAAUAGUAGCACAUCGUGAAGAGGAACAAAUUUCCAUUGGUCAAUUUCCAGAGGUCCAGCGCGAUAAUAGCACAUCGCGCCAUGUGCCAAAAUGGCAUUCCAAAGGAGCACCGUGAUAACCCCACAUUGCGGAGUCUGCCUAUUUUAGUUGGCAUUUUCCAGUGGCUUGGCACCAUUGUAGCGCGUCGCACCAAGGUCAAAAAUCGAGACCCUAUUUUAUUUUUUCCAGUUUUGUUUAGAAGUUAAAAGGGGGUAUUUUGGAAUUUUCCCCAACCCUCAAUCCGUUCAAACACGAGAUUAAAGCCUUUUAAAAGCAUUAUAUGCUAAGUUUCAUCAAAAUUACUCUCAUCCAAAAUCCUAGGCUUCAACAUUCAUCUCCAGAAAACUCAAGAUUCCACCAUUUCUUCUCCAAAUUGAUUCAAGAUUUAAGAUCCCUAGACUAAGAGCUUCAAGAAUCUUCAUUCAAGAGUGCGAAUAGAGUCUCCAAAAGCAAGUUGUGUCUAGUUCAUCAUCUAAGGUAUGUGGAGUUUCAACAAGGACAAUCCUUUCAUCCUUGUGACCAAAACCUAUUUUAAUUAUUAAAGAUACAUGAUUUUAUAUGUUUUCCUUGAAUUUGAAGCUAGAGAUUAUACCCAUAAUUGUUAUAUACAAGCUUAUGAUAUUUCCAAUAUUUUAGAAGUUGAAUUACAUAGGUAUUUCCUGUUAUUAUGCUUAUUGCUGAAAUUUCCAGAUUUUAUGAUGAAUUAUGAAUAUUUAUAUUAUCAAGCAUGAAUUUUUGAGAUGUUUAUCAUGAUAUUGAUACAUGGGUCAUUAAUCCCUAUUUAAAGAAUGUUAUUCGAAGAAUUGUUGUUCUAUAAGCACCCCAUGAUUAGAAUGCUUUCAGAUUUUGAGAAAGAUUUGACCUUUUGGUCUCAGAAUAGAUAUGAAAUCCACUUUACAAAUUCAAAUUACAGAUUUAUAGUUGAUUUUCAUUAUAAACCAUUAGAUUACUUUUAAAGUAGAUUUUUUUGAAGAUAUUGAGAAGGAGAUUGGGAGUAUUAUUUAUCACAGAGAUGGGUAUGUUACUACGGUUUUAUACCCCAGAACUAUGUGCCAACGUAGGAUUUAGAUUAUUCCCACUUCUACGUGGAUGACUGAGAUUGUGAUCACUGAGAUGAGAUUGUUCUAUUCCGAUAGAAAGGAUAGAACAGACCUAACCUUACGGGGGCUAGUCGUGGGACACCAUGGAUGCUCACAUGGUGUACACAUCGGUUAGAAGAACCUCCGAAAUAGAUGCCCCCCACUCUUAAAAACUUUAUGAGAUAAAGUAUUUACUAUGCAGAAUGAGCUUCAUAUUUCAUAUAGCUUACAUGAUUUGAGAACAAUAAGAGAAUACAUAUUUUUUUUAGAACUAAGUGUAAUGACUCACAAGAUUUAGAAUAUAUGCAUUAUCAUUUAUGAUUUCAGGUUUACUCGAGCUAUGUGAGUCAUUUAUGUUUAGCAUGCAUGAUUUACAAAUUAUGAUGCUAUUGUUUACUUAUUGCAUGCACCCCUAUAUACUCAGUACAUCCUCAAAGUACUGAUCCACAUAUAUGUCUAUGUGCUACAUUGUCUCAUAAUGUAGGUUUAGGUGCUCAGUCUUAGCAGCGACAGUAAUUUCUGAGCAUAUUAUCUACAUCCCUGCAGUUGGUGAGUCCUCAUAUUUCUAGGACUUAGCUAUUCAUGUUUCAGUUAUUAGUAGAUGUUUCUUUAUUGAUUUUAGAUAGUUAGAAUCAGCUGGGGCCUGUCCCAGUGGCUCUCUAGAUUUAUUUAGUAGAGGCUUGUCGGACUACCAGAUUCAGUCUUAGAUCUUAGUUGUUAUGUUCAGACUUUUCGGUAUUAGUUUACUCAGAUUGAUGAGAUUAGUACUUUCAGAUAUAUUCAGAUUAUUCAGAUAGUUUUCCGCAUUUUAUCAUGAUUUUACACUCAUAAUUCACUAUGCUAAGAUUCAAAUGUGGUAGAAGGCAACCAGGGUUAGCUCAGAACUACUUGUAGUUCAAAGUACCAUGUGGCAUCCCGGGAACUAGAUUUCGGGGCGUUAAAUGGGGUAAAUUUUUGGAGACUCCAAAAAUCAAUUAGGAAAAGGUCUAAUUCAAGUCAAGGCUAAUAUGUUCGACUUGGAAGUGUGACAAUCAAAGUUGAAUUCUACUAAAUAAUGCACAAAUUUAUGAAGCAUCAAUGGGGUAAAACUUCUCCACAAUCGAAGCUGGUAUGAUGUCUUUGCCAGAGUAUUAGAAUAAAUGGAUCGUCGGUAAACAUGAAAGACACUUCUACCACUUAACUCGAGAAUUUAUCCAAGGAUAUUAUUUUGUUAAACUAUCAAUACAAACUCUUUCAAAAACUCAUCGACAAUCAGUUUAGGAUCUACUACACUCGUUAUAUUAGUCAUAGAAAUAUCAUGCAGUACAUGACUAUAAAAGAAUCAGAAAAAAGUUCUGGAUCAAAGAUCUAUACCCACAAUCGCAAAGUGGUUUUCAAUGAAGCUAUACUCUGAAAAAGCACUCAAAUCUUGGAUUAUGACUAAUAUAUCAAUCAUCAAACAAAAACCAAAUUAGAUAGUGAUACGGUCAAGUAAUGGAUCCAAAAAGAGUUCCUAUAUAAAAAUGCCACAAAGAUAUGGAGACUGUCGAGGUAGUGCUUAAGAAAUGUUCAAAUUUUAUGCAAGGAAGACUCGUGCAUAUACCCAAGCCUCUUACUUCCACCAAACUUUGAGUCAUCGAGACUAUAUAUGAAAAUAGCUUACACAAUGCAUUCACUUCUCUCUAGAUCAAAACCAUGACAUGAAGGAAUCGACCUUGAGACAUGAAUUUCAAAAAUUUAUCGAUUCCAAAACUUUCAAAUGCAUCAAUCAAAGAAAGGAAUGCCUUGAUGCUAAUCUCUAGUGGCAAAAGAAAACGAUGGGAUGUUAAAGAAUCUUAUGUAAGAUAUAUCACUUUGGUAAAUUACCAAAAUAAGCCUUUAAAGGCAAGCUCAUCAUAAUUAUUGACUUUACCAUUCACCAUCCACUCACUCUUUUAACCAAAUUUACUUGAUUCUCCUAAUAUGGAAUUACGUUUUGACCUAAUUCAUAUUCUAGGAUACACAGCCAAACUGAGUCAAGCUCGAUCAUACGAACAAAAUACUCUUUCUACCUUGUCAAAAAUCUCAUCUAUCAUCUUAAGCCACAUUGAUCGCAUCUCUCUAAUAGAAUCAUAAGACCGAAGAUCAAGAUAGAGAAAGUAUCCACCAGAAGAUAUACUAGUUUAAGGACAUCAUUUGGAAUAGGGAAGCUUUACUACUUUAUCUCUUGAAUUUCCAAAUAGAUUUAUAAAUUACUAGAAGGUUGAAGGACA
This 50051-nucleotide long non-coding RNA is filed under the name Capsicum annuum. RNAcentral's name for it is "long non-coding RNA (CANN_LNC014412)". Lineage: Eukaryota; Viridiplantae; Streptophyta; Magnoliopsida; Solanales; Solanaceae. The record is from RNAcentral.